This 77185-nucleotide long non-coding RNA is filed under the name Sorghum bicolor (sorghum). Its description in RNAcentral is "long non-coding RNA (SBIC_LNC002667)". The stretch from base 3950 to 4056 matches the Rfam family "Plant small nucleolar RNA R71". Lineage: Eukaryota; Viridiplantae; Streptophyta; Magnoliopsida; Poales; Poaceae. The record is from RNAcentral.
GGGUUUUUGCAGAUUUUCAAAUAAAACUCAGAGAUUCCUUGUAUGAUUCUCUCAGGUCUCUCUUUUGUGGUAUUUUUGGAUCCUUACCAAGGCAUUGAUGGUAUAUGCCUUCUCUCAAGAUAUGUGGUAUUUGGGGUAUAAGGCAUAGUGACAUUGCCUUCUCUCUCAUCCUACUCUAAUAAGGCUUUAAUAUCUGGAGCUCAUAGGUGGGAGAUAAAGUAUACAUACUUACAAGACAUGUAUUGCAUAGUCAAACCAUGGAUCCAAAGUAACAAGUCAAUAAGUUUAAUCAAGAUGUGCAUGUGUGGCGAAUGAAUGGUAUAUGGUGAUGAUGGUGAUAACAAUGGUGAAAACAAUGGUGAAAACAAUGGUGAAAACAAUGGUGGUGAAAGUCUAAUUCUACUUUGCUCUUUUGAGGGGAUACAUACCUUCCUUGCUUUUGAAACUUUAUGAGGAGAAUGAGAUGCUCUUCUUUUUCUUUUCUCUCAGGUGGGUAUCUUGCACCCUUAAUUCUACUGUCGGACACUUGUCCAUUUUUACCUCUCGUCUCACUUUUUCUUUUCUUUCGAGGUUCCGAGCACUUGCUCCUUUUUAUUUCCUCGUAUUAUUUUCUCUCUCUCUCUUUUUUUAGAGCACUCAUCUCUUGAGAUAAUAUAGCAAGUGGUAGUAAUAAGAUAACUUGAGCAUUUAUUUCACAAGGGAAAACAGAAAUAUUUUUGGUUAUUCUCUCCCGGAUUAGGAGUAGAAUAUUUUUAGGUGGUUCUGGAGAUGGAAUGGGUGGAUAUAUGUGGAUGGUACUUCCGGAGUAGAAGUAGCAUAUAUGAGUGAACGUGCAAGUGAAAUCUUGAUUUAACCACAUGACAAGCUCCUAAGGGUCUACACAGCUUGACCACACUCAAUGCUCAUAAGCAGUAAAUAGUAAAUGUGUGGCUCAAAGUCUAGCAAGCAUGUAUAUAUGGCUGUGGUAGGAAUUUAAACUCUCAUCAUACAGGAACUCAUCAUGCAACAUUUUAAAGAUUUUCAAAGAUAAAAUUCUCCAGAAUUCUAGCAUCUCUAGGAAUAGAUAAACAGCAGCUUAGCCUUUCCAUAUCGUAUCCGUUAACAACUUAGACUUCAGAUCAAGUUUUCAUCCCACAAGUUUAGGUCUAGGGCAAGCUUUAAAUUAUAACAGUUAUGUCUAAACUUGAGAGAGAACUUAAAAUGUGCAAAUUAGGUAGAGCAACUAUUCAUCAUAUCCAGGCUUAAGUUUUAUUAGAUACAGAUUAGCAUAGCCACUUUAUUUAUUAAUUAAACACACUAAGUAAUAUAUAUAUAUAAGCAUAAAAUCUUUAUUUGGUUUUCCCAUAGUUUAUGUGUAUUAAUAUUCUAAAAUAAUAUAAGUAUAAAGAUAGAUAAAAAUACUUAUCGGGAUAAAUGGGGGUGCUCUCCCCCAAGCUGAAUUUUGACGUAAUUUCUCUUGAUAUAGCUAGCAGGUGGCAGAGGUGUAGUUGAAAGUCAGCAGCAUUCUGACAGCGAUUAGAAUGUCCUCCGUCUGCUAGUCUUCAUGAAUUCUUAAAUUCUGUGGAGCUCAAAUAGACAACAAAGCUUGUGGAACUGAUUAAGUGUUAGCAUAAAUAUCUAACCUUUAUCAUCUUGAGACUCCUUAAUAAUUAUUACUCCCUGUUUUUAUAUUUUUAUUUUAUAAAGCAGAAAAAUAUUUAUUUUAUUUUUAUGCCACCACAGUGAAUGUACGUAUGGGUUUUAUGCCACUCGUCUAUUCACAUGGGGCUUACUAUUUUUUACAUUUUUAUUUUCUUUUUAAGACAGUAUGAGCAUGUUUAACUAAGUAAACUAUUUAAAAUAACUGAAAGGGAAAGGAUAACUACCAAGUUUACCUCUUGGCAAGGCGUUCGGUGUUUUUAAGUCCUCCGAACGGGACUCUCCAUUUUCUCAAUCGUCCUGAGGUCCGUUGGGUGGCGUAGUCGGUACUUCCGGCAGCGCCUCCUCUUCUUGUAUAGUUAUCUUCAUUUUCCAUACCUGACUCGGUGCUUCAAUCUCCUCUGGAUAAUUCUGUUUAAACUCUACGUUUUCUGACCUUACAACUUCUCCUUCAUAGUCUGCCCAUCCGUCCUUGAUGAUCUGCCUCCUCUGGUUGCGGUUGCGUCUCUUUCUGACCUGCUUAGAUUCUUCAACGAUAUAGUCAGGGUCAGUAAAAUAACGGCGUACCUUCUCUGAGGGGAAGUGCAUAUGGACUUCUCCGGUUCCAAUAUAGAUAAUUGCUUUAACGGUGCAGAGGAACGGUCUUCCAAGGAUGAUGGGUGGAUCAUAUUCAUCUUCUCCCAUGUCAACAACUUGAAAGUCUGUGUAGACAAAGUGAUCGUCUAUUUUGACUGGGACAUCAGAUACUAUUCCUUUAACUUCUCAAAAUGUCUGAUCUGCCAUCUGGAGUUGAAUGUAUGCUGGUCUUAGUGGCAUGGUUCCGAACAAGAGUCGAUAGGUGACUGCGGCCAUUAUGUUGACGCCUGAUCCGGUGUCGCAAAUCGUCUUGUAGAAGUUAUAUCCAUUUAUGGAGCAGUAGAUGCUUGGCAUUCCUGGGUCGUCUUUCUUGGCCAAAAACGGCGACUUAAGUUGAUGAUCUUGGCCUCCAUGGACUACAGUGACCAUCUUAGCUGACUUGGUCCACACUUGCUUGUUCCUGUUUCUCCUGUUGGUCCUCUUCCUUGAUUUACGUCUGGAUUGAUCUUGAAUUUGUGUAGUCUUGUUCUUGAAGAAAAAUAUCUCCUUCUUCCCUUUGACGUAGAAACUGAUCUUGGCAGCACUGGCGUAGAUGAUAGCUCCCGUCGUGUUCAAGAAUGGCCUCCCUAAGAUGAUAGGUGCUCUCUCAUCAUUUCCGGUCUCUACCACUACGAAGUCUGCUGGUGCAUACAAGGUACCAACUCGGACACAAAGGUUCUUCACUAUUCCUUUUGAAAAAGUUAUCGUCUGAUCUGCAAACUGCAAACACAUGGUUGUAUCUAAUAAAGGAUAUGUAAAGAAUUUUUCAUAGAGUACCCUGGGUAUAAUGUUGACACUGGAGCCAAAGUCACAGAGUGCUUCUGGGAAGUCCACCAUGCCGAUGGAGAUCGGGAUGACGGGGCGUCCUGGAUUGCCUCUCUUGACCGGCAGAAGGUCACUAGAGAAUUCAGUGAUGGGGUUACUCCAAUUACCUGCAUCAAACAUGUCUACAAGAUUUGCAGAUUCUAAUCCUUCCGGUUGUGAUGGUAUACCGGGGUUAGUAGUAGGAACAGCAGCAGCUAUUUGAUUUAACUGAGAUUCAAUCAUUUUAUUAAAGCUAAUUUGAUUCUUGAUGGCAGUAGAGAAAUUAUCCAUUCUAUUAUUUAUAUUUUCUAGUAUUUUAUCAUUAGAUGCCAAUUUCUUAGAUAGAUUAUCCAUUAGCUUUCCUUGAUUAGACACUAACUCUCUCAAAGGUGGAAAAUUAUUAUUAUUGUUGUAAGAAUUGUUACCUUGAUAAUUACCUGAGUAGUUAGGCCUCUGUUGAUUCCAACCUUGAUUUUGUUGAGGACGGUUGUAGUAGUUGUUGUUGUUGUUGAUGUAGUUCACAUCCUCAAGUAUCUCAGGGCAGUGGUUGCCUGAGUGUCCAGUGUCUCCACACUCCUCACAAGUCAUGUGAGAGUCGUAGGUGUGCAUAACUUCUUUCUUGUCUCCAGCUCUAUCAUUGAGCUUCUUCAUGAGCAGGUCUAGCUUUGCAGACAGCAUGUCUACCUCCUUCAGCUGAUGCAUACCUCCACCUCUCUUGCGUGUCUGGGUCCUCUCUUCAUUCCAGCUUUGAUUGGACGCCAUCUUCUCCACAAGAGCUGUGGCUUGUGGUAUAGUAAGUGAUAAGAAUGCUCCUCCAGCUGCAGCAUCCAUGGUCUCUCGGGCACUGUUGCUGAGCCCAUGAUAAAACGUCUGCAUCAAUAUCCAACUCUCCAUUCCAUGAUGGGGACAUUCUAGGAUGUAGUCUUGAAAGCGCUCCCAUGCUUCUGGAACAGAUUCAUCAUUUUGUUGCUGAAAACUUGUAAUCUUCCCACGGAGAGCAUUGGUCUUGCCCAUGGAAAGAACUUAGCCAGAAAGUUUGUUGAGCAGAGUGCCCACGUAGUAUUCUUCUCCUUUGUAGCGUAGAACCACUGCUUCGCUCUUCCUAACAGUGAGAAUGGGAAGAGGCGAAGUAGUAUAGCGUCUUUGGAAACUCCUGCUAUGGUGAAUGUGUUGCAAAUCUCCAGGAAGUGUUGUAAAUGAGCACUAGCAUCUUCGUGUGCCUUCCCACAGAACUGGUUGGAUUGCACCAUGUUGAUAAGUCCAGGCUUGAGCCCAAAGUUGCCAUCGAUCUCUGCAGCAGGUCCAGUGCGGAUGUUGUCCGUAGUGGGAGCUGAGAACUCGCGGAUUGAUUUGUUCGCCAUGGCUUCGAACUCUGAAGACAAGUUCCAGUGAUCUUCUUGAUUGGAUGAAGCUUCUUCGUGAAGUGUUGAUGAUUUCUUUAGCUUGGCUCUCGUCUUCUUGAAUAAUGCUUCGGGAUUGUCAACAAAAUUUCCUGGAAGAUGUCUUCUAUUCAUACAUUCCCCUGCAUAAGAUAAAAUAGAAAAAUAUCGGGGUAAAACUGUAUAAGAGAAUAGAUAAGCUCAAUCAUAUUAGUGAUGCGAAUGAUAACUCAAAAUCUUUUAUUCCAUUCCUGAUUGGUAAUCAACCUUCCCCGGCAACGGCGCCAAAAAUGCUUGUUGGGUAUUCUUAACAUCAUUACUAAAAGUAGACUAAGUUCUAAAUCUAGUAACGGUGCCAAAAAUGCCAAACCUAUCCCUUACACCACUUAAGCCAAGUUGUCAUCCCCAGCAUGAUAUAAGAGACGCGGUAUUGAAAUAUGCAAUUGCUCUUCUAAAUAAAUAAUGAAUGGGAUCUGCAAGCGCACAGAUUAAUACCGAUGUAGCAUUUUAACCGGGAAGUAUUCCAGGUAUCGUUAUUUAUAUUUUUACCACUGGGAAGGGAUUAGAAAUCAUCACUAAUGAUUACAGAAUAGAAUAUGAGAUUGAGCAUCUAUCAUUGCAUGUAUAAUUGAGAACAUUAUAUCUAACUCAUCAUACAGGGAUAAGUGUCACAUAAAAGAUAUAUGAAAUGAUAAUAGUGACAAGGAUAACUAAUCUGAUCUAGCCACAUAAUAAAUAUGGUAAGCACCUCAAUUAGAUACUCUAGAAAGUCAUUAGCAUGGUAUUAGAACGAACUACAAGAAUAUUCCCUAAGUUAUUCUCAACUAUAUAGUCUAGCAUAUCAUAGUUAGUGCAAGCAUACUUAGCAAUCAUUGCGAGACAAGACUACGCCCAUGCAUAGUGAUAUUAGCAAGGAAUAUGAGAAACAUAGCAAUCACUCCCCUGUAAUAAUGUUGCUCUGCCAGCCCAAUACACGAGAGGGGGACUAUAUAAGAAUCAAUGAAGCUGUCACUAUCACGAACUACCCCACGAUCUGGCAUAUUGGGUACAAUCGCAGAUAAAUACGGUAUAAGCACCACGCCUACACAAUAUCUAUCAUUUACCCAUGGAUCCGAUGGAUAAACGCUAUACGAUCCUAAGCAUGUAUAUAGAUCGUAUCUAACUAAGCCAAGUACAUAACUAUGAUAAACUAAGAAUAAUAUAAUCUUGAAUAUAAGCAAGUAGAGCAAAGUCAUAAGCAAUAUAUUGAAGUAGAACAAAGUCAUAUUCAUAAUAUUGAAGAACAAAGAUAAUUAGAAAGCAAUUAGAAGCACAAUUAGAAGAUUACCAAGAAUCCUCCUGACAGAUCCGGAAACCAAUCGAAGAUUGACUCCUUCUAGUUCUAAUCCUAUGUAGCUAUGCUAAUCUAGAUAUCUAAUUGAUGUGGUGGCUCUAAUCUUGAUCAGAGGCUUCUUCUCCCUUGAUGGAACAAUGAAUUAGGGUUGAGAGGCUCUCUCCUCCAGGGGCCAGGGGGUCUGGUUUUAUAGUCCCUUCAAGUGAAUAUGGGCCCUUGGAUCAAACCGACAUAGAUUGUAUGGUUUAGAUUCAUCCUUUAGGUCGGUGGAGACUUCCCGCAAAGCAGAGUCCUGAUUGGACUCCAGAGGUGGGCGGGCGCCCUGACCAACUGGGCGGCCGCCCAGGGUCUGGCCCCGUUUCGCCUCCGCUUCGGUCUCGUGGCUUCUGGAGUCUUCUAGAUGUAAGAUAAUUGCGCAGCACGUUAAUAUCUUUACGUAAUCGUGACAUGUGGGCCUUUCUUCCAUAUUUCCUGAUAACUCCCUGCAGAAAUAGACAAACACCAAAACUCAUGGAAUUCUGUCAGAUAAAACCCUAAGUCUAGAUCUUGAUUUCAUUUGGAUCCUUUUCUUUAUUUAUUUGAUAAUUAAAUUUGAUACUUAAGGACCGUCAACAGCAUACAUUCAUCUCUCGAUACGAUAACUAUCGGUGUACACGCGAGUUGUUAGUGUACCUGCAGAAAACUUCAUUGCAGCCCAACAAUUCCCAAUAUUUCACUCAAGAAAGCAGUAAACUAAGUGUACAUUGCUUAUACAUGCCCAACAUGCACAAACAAUGACACCACAGCUACCCAAGAAAUUAAAUGCUCUCCAAUUAAGUUUCUUUCGUGGUUCCAUGGUUUGACAUGUAACCACUCUAGAAAACCACCACGAACACUCCCCUAGACCGCCGUUUGGACGAUCAUGCUCUCACACCUCACACUUACCAGAGCGUAGGUGCGACGUUGCAUAAUUUAAAUCUGGCGACAUAUGUGGCUAAUUCACAUAAGAAGGCUACCUCUACCAUUAGACCAUAGGGUAGCAUAGUGCGGUCAUCACACAUCUAUACCUGAGUACUGCCGGAGAUGCAUAAUUAAAACCCCCAAGUCAGUACUUAAUUAGCCACCUAGAGUCCUUAUACGGGCAAGGAGGAUUCGACCACUGCAUAACUUUGGUAUUAAUUUUCUUAGUUUAUUUAAAAACUCUUUUGUUUUUAAAUACAAAAACGCUGCAUUUAUAAUGCUGAACUUGCUCCGAUACCAGCUGUCACAGAACCGACCAAAUUAUAAGAGUUCAAGUGUAGAAACGAUCAACUUGCAAUCAAGUUUCCAUACUUGAGCCCAUAUAAUCCCGGUAGUCAACUGAAAUCAUGAAGGACUUCAAACCAACUUGCAACAAACCAAGAUCGUAAUAGUUCAACAUAACACAGCGAAUGUUACAUAGUCAUUCAUUGCCGUCGAAGCAACACCACAUCGGAGUUACUUAGUCAUUACAACCCAAGUUUUAGAGUAGCGGAAGCAAAAUAGUUUACAACACACAUUCAUUUCACAAGUUCUUGUUAUUGCCAGAGUCUCAUGCCAUCCAUCAAAAGCAACAUGUACGAAGUCAUUCGAGAACAGUUCCCAACGGUUUAGUCCUCAUCCCCAGCGGGAUGGAGACAGGUCUUGCAGAAGCCAUCAUAAAAGAUAUCAUCUGCAACAGGUGGGAAUAAACCCUAAGUACGAGGAUAUACUCAGCUAGACUUACCCGUCUAGUAAAACAUAAAAGACACCAAGGAUCAUGCAAGCCUGAGUAUAAAGUGUAGUUGGCUUGACUCAACAUUUUGCCAAAAGCUUAAGUGGACAUUACACCAUAUGUAAAAGCAUUAUAUUAAUCAUCAUUAGCCUACCACUAUAUUAGCACCUAUACUAAGCACUCCACUUGAUUAAUACAAGCAAUAAUAACCAUAUCAAGUUCAUCAUAUGUUCUUCCUUGCUAUCAUCAACAUUAUUCUCAAGAACCAUUGUACUUAUUGGAUGCUACGUUUGCCGCUGCUCUAUCAAGUUCUCACUAUCCGGGAGAGACAGUGAUUCGAAUCGAUUCCUAUCCAGCUGGAGGGUUAUUCCUAGCACUCACCCAAGCAUCCCCCGUCGGAGAGCACCCAAUUCUGGAACCCAACUUGGAAGGGCCAUAACUUUUAAACUACUAAACCAAAAGAUCGCAAAAUUGAACUACAGCUAGUUCAUAAAGUUUACAACAUCUUUGAUUUAGACAAGUCUUUCAGAAAACCAAGUUAUCAUCAAGCUAGUUCAUAAAGUUUACAACAGCUUAUGAACCUUUAAUUAAUUAUUUGAUGACAUAGCCAAAACAUAUCUAGUGCCAACCAAAUGGCUUACAAGCACAAACAUAGCCUAAGAUUACCAGAACAUCACAUGUUGACCACUAAACAUUCAACAACAUGGCAUUUCUUAAUUUAAUUCCAUAAAAUGACAUAAUUACAAGAUACUAGUAAAAUUGCUCAGAAAAAUCUGCAAAAAUUACAGAAGGACAGACAUAGCAUCUUGACUUCACCAUAAAAUUUUCAGAACAAUUGCACAUGCCAAACUCAAGAUAAAUAAUUAACAUGUAACAAGGUGCUUAUUUCAUAAAUUAAGAAACAUGGCUUAGAUAGUGUCAAACAACAUAUUUCAGAUUAUUUACAUGUUACUAUUACUAUAAACAAGCUUGGCACCAAAGUAGAACACCAGCAUAAGCAUCAAACAUUUAUUAUGAUUUAAAUAUGAAAACAAGCCAUGGGAUCAACAUAAAUUACAUAUCAGAGAUACAUUACUCCAAAAAUCAUGAAUUAUUUAUCAAAGCAUUCUUAUUUCACUCAGAACCUACUAUAAAACUUUCACAGCAAUAGGAGCAGUAUAUCAACAGAUAUGAAUUUACUGUCAAAUAACAAGAUUAAUUUAUAACAAUUAUUUUUCCUAGAAAACAUGGUGCAUAUUAUAUUUUAUUAAAAACUAGCCAUCACAUGGAUCAUCACAAAAUUUGUUUCACAACUUUUGGAUCUCAGGUACUGGAGAUAUGAUUUUUGCAAAAACUGCACAAACCCUAAUUUCAAACAAAGGAGAAAGAGAGACUGACAGGGGGACCCCACAGGUCAACGGACCCUACGCGUCAGUGACCCGAGAGCAGAGGCGAGACUUGACCGCCGGAGAUCUCGUCGACGGCCAAGAGCACCAUCGUGCUCCUCACUCCACUCAGCGACGAUAGGUACCAGAAGCCCUAGCUCUACCGCACCCUAGGGACCUCGCCCUCGCGAAUGGCGGCACGGCCGUGGUGUGCGGCCGACCGCCGGCGUCUCUGGUCGGAGACCGGGCGAAAGAAGAUCCCGACGAGCACCAGCACGACUCAGCGGAGCUUUUGGGACAAGAACGAGAAAGAAUGGUGGACUACAGAGCCCUGGCCACGACACCUGUGACCACGGCAGAGCUCCGGCGAGGUAAGCUGAAGAGCUACAUGAGGACUUCAACUUUGCUUACAAGAUCAAUACUUGAUUUGGCCUAGAUUUCAAACAGGAAGCUAUCCAAACCACCCUCGAGCAAACUGUUGCAUUCUCAGACUUAGAAAAAUUUCUAAGUGUUGGAGAUAGCCCCAAAUCUGCCUCGUGGGCCACUUUUGAGCUAGAUGUGAUAAUUUUCAUGAGAUGGCCAUAAAACAACUUUUGUUCCUAAUAAAUUUGCUACAACUUUGCUGUAGAAAGUCUGAACAUGCAAACAUUUUAUGAAGCACUUUUUAAAAGUCUAAGAAAAAUAGGUUUUUAGGGCUUAUAAGAAGAAGUAUGACUUAGGUACUUAAUUUGGAGAUGUGAUCAACAUGAACAUUGUUCCAAAAGUUGAGUUAAGCAUAGAUGGACUAUUUACCAAGGCAUAGAACACAAACAUGAGCAUGGCACAAGCAAACACAAGCAUAGGAAGCAUAUUCAAGCAAGUUAAAACACACACUUGCAUAAAAUGACAUGACCCAAGGAAUUGAUGAGCAUGAUAUGCUUAUGAACAUGAUGAUGCUCAUGUUAUGCUUGUGAAUGAUGCAACCAUGACACUAGGGUGUUACAAUGAACCCUAGCUCAUGCAACAAGGGCAAGGAAAAGGUAACAACUGCCUUUGCCCAUCCUAGUGGUUUAUGGGUCUUAAUGCAAGAAUAAUUUUAUGGUUUGCCUUCUAUGGCUAUUAAUGUGUUGUUUUCAGAGCAUCCAUUUUAAUUUAGUGAAGUGUGAUUGAAAUUGAUUUGUUCUUUCGUGAAUAUUAUAUAUAGGAUUUGUCAUUGAGUUCAACAAAAGUCUAUAGCAUUUUAUUGACAUAAAACUAAACUACAAGUCAUUCUAAAAACAAUAAUCUAAGUCAUUCUAAUAAAACACAGGAUUCAGAGUUCAUGUUCUGCUCUUACUACAUGAGUUAUGUGAUAGCAUGUGCAUUUAGUUCAAGUAUGAAUAUAUACUAAGGUACUAAUAGAUUACUGACUGCACCUAAAAAACCUGUGGUUUAUGGUACCAUGAAAAUAGAAACAAGUAGCAUUGAUGCACUUGCAUGAUUGAAUCAUGAUUUUAAUAACUCUAUUUUGCUUUCUAGAAGGGUCUAAAAUCAAUGCAUGAUUGAAUCAUGAAGCACACAUAAUAAAGAUUUUACAGCCAUCAAUGUUAUUUUUUUCAUCUAUCAGUAGUGUUUGUUUGUAUGACAAGUGUAUUCAUAUUUUCAUCAUUCGAGGUUCAGAUAGCACUAUACUGAAAGACUACUUAAAGAAGUUUUUUUUUAGUCCCAUGUACAUGAUGGGAUGGUUUUGUUCCUUGCUGCUGUAGAUUGACUCAGAUAACCAAGUAAUUGGACCAUGUAAUUUCUUGUUUGUUCUCCAUCCUAAAUGACAACCAUAUACAUACACUUUUUUCUACAUUCAUCAAAGAAAACUGAAGGUAUUACAACAAGUUUCUCCUAGUUCCUUGCUGCUGCAGGUUGACUCAAGAUAACCAAGUAACUAGACCAUGUAAUUCUUGGUUCUUCUCCAUCCUGAAUGACAAAACCAUAUACUGUAGGUUCCCUAAUAUUUAUUUGUACUGCAGGUUCCCUAUGACAGUGACCUGAAAGAAGAGGAUGAACUUGUGGACUGGGUUGGUAUUUGUAAAACUCUACAACUCUGAAAUCGUGGACUCUUAUAAGUUGAACAGAAGUCAUUACCUUUUUUAUGUGGAAUGUAUAGAGUGAAAUGAAGUGGUCCUUAAUAGUUGAAUAAUAGCACCUAAUAUUUAUUUGUACUGCAGGUUCCCUAAUAUUUAUUUGUUCUGCAGGUUCUCUAUGACAGUGACCUGGAAGAAGAGGAUGAACUUGUGGACAGGGUUGGAUUCCUGACCGAGGAAGCUAACAAGACAGCAACAAAAAAGAUGUUGCGCCGAGUAGAUAAUACCUCUACUGGAGUUGAUCAAGCCUUCAACACGCUCUUCAUCAACAUGAAAUAUUGUGUGUUGGAUGUAACACCCCAGUGUUAUGGUUGCAUAAAUCACAUGCAUAACAUGAGCAUCAUCAUCUACUCAAGUAUUCCAUGAUCAUCAUCUACCUUGAGCCAUGUCAUUUUAUGCAAAAAUGUGAUUUAAGUUGUCUUAAUAGGCCUCCUAGACUUGUGUUGGUGUGUACCAUGCUUGUGUUUGUGCUCUAUGCCUUGGUAAUUAGUUUAUCUAUGCUUAACUCAACAUUAGGAGCAAUGUUCAUGUUGAUCACUUCUCCAAAAUAAUCACUUAAGUCAUACUUACUCAAAUAGGCCCUAGAAACCUCUUUUGCUUAGGCUUUUAAAAAGUGUAUCAUAAAAUAUUUGCAUGUCAAAACUUUAUAAAGAAAAGUUGUAGCAAAUGUUAUAAGGAACAAAAGUUGUUUUAUGUCCAUCUCAAGAAAAUAAACACAUCUUGCUCAAAAAGUGCUUUCAAGGAAGAUUUGGGUGCUGUUUUGGCACUUAGCCGAAUUUGGCUAAGUCCUGGCAUUAACAGUUUGCUCGAACGAUUUUGAAAACAUCAUAUCUUUCAAACCAGGCCGAUCUAUCUCUUGCUCCAGUUGACAAUGUUGUAGAACUCAGCUAGUACUCCAACUUUGUCAACUACACAAUCUCCUAACUUGCGCUGGUUUGGGAGUUAAUCGUUGUCAAAGUAGCGUCGGUCAUCGUUUUGUCUGAAUCAGAACGGAGCUCGUCGACGUGGCCGACCGGCGGCAGAGCAACGGCGACAUUUGGUGUCCGUACGUCGUUCCUGGCCCCGCUCAUCAGCUCCCACCGCGCGCAUGUCCUCCACGGCGACGCCCGGGCGAAGUGGACGCGUCCAUUCCUCUCUGCCUCGCUCUCUCUCGCCACAAACGCGCCCGCAGCGAGCUCACCGUCGCGAGCUCACUCCGGUGAGCUCGUACGCGUUCCUCGCUGCAUCGCUUUCCACCAAACUUCACCCACAGCUCCGCCAUGAACCGCUCUCCACUCUCCACCCGCAAACUCGCCGUGAAACCCUCCGGUGAGCCGACAUUCCCAACUUCCCCCAAAUCGGGUCGCCGUGAUCUUCUUCUGCGGCGAUCUCAAUGCCGAGCUCUUCGAAGCCUCUCGUCUUCUCUGGUUAGGUCCUAGAAGUAGCUUAGAUCCUUAGCAAGCGUUUGCGCCACAUGGUGGACGCUCUACCGCGCUCACCGUCGCCAGACACGACGCGCAGCGCCGCCGUGUUAACGCCGGAGUUAGGCUCUCUCGUGGCCAGCUCCUUCCACCCCGUCUCAGGCCAAGCCACCUACCUAGAAAGCUUCGCCGUAGUCCGCUGGUGCUGUAGGAAACCCUAGGUCGCGCUCUACCGGCCUGAGGGCUCCGGCUUAACGCCGAGCACCUCCGCCGAGCCUCCAUGAUCGACGGCGAGCCAUUUCCGGUGGCUCCGCCAUGGGGAAAAGGGGGUCAAUCGAGUCGCAAGGGUCUGGCGGUCACGAUGGUGCCCUUGGUUUGGCCGGAGACCUCGCCGUCGCGGAGAAAUCGCCGGCGAGAGUCGCCUCGGCUGUGGGGAAGACGACCCAGACAUGCAGGGCCCGCUGUCAGUGUCACCUCACUUCCCUCCUUUUCUUUAUUCAAAUCCAGAUUUUUAGCUUUCUUGCAAAAAUCAUAUCUUCCGUUUCUGAGAUCCAAAAAUUGUGAAACCAAUUUUGUGAUGUUCCUUGAGAUGGCUUGUUUUUAUUAAAAAUAUAAAAUGAACCAUGUUUUCUGGGAAAAAAUAAUUAUUAGGAGUUAAUCUUGUUAUUUAUGAGUAAAUUCAUAUCUUUUGUUAUACUGCUCCUUUUGCCAUGAAAUUUUUAUGGUAGUCUCUGUGUGGUACUAGAAUGCUAUGAUAAAUAUUUCAUGAUUUUUGGAGUACUGCAUCUGUGUUAUAUAAUUUAUGAUUGCGAUAUAGCUUGUUUUCUUAUUAAAAUCAUAUUAAAUAAUGGAUGUUUAUGCUGAUGCUCUACUGUGGUGGCAAACUUGUUUAUGGUAUUGGUAACAUGUAAAUAAUCUGAAAUCUGUUUUUUGACACCAUAUAAGUCAUGUUUCUGAAUUUAUGAAAUAAACACCUUGUCACAUGUUAAAUGCUUAUCUUAAGUUUGGCAUGUGCAAUUGCUCUGAAAUUUUUAUGGUGAUGUCACAAUGCUAUGCUUGUGCUUCUGUAAUUUUUGUAGAUUUUUCUGAGCACCUUUACUAGUAUCUUAUAAUUAUGCUCCUUUAUAGAAUUAAAUUAGUAAAUGCCUUGUUAGUAAAUGUUUAGAGGUUAACAUGUGAUGUUCUGGUGGUCUUAUGAUGUGUUUGUGCUGAUAAGUCAUGUGGUUGGCACUGUUUAUGUUUUGGCUAUGUCAUCAAAUAAUUAAUUGGUGGGUUAAAAGAUGUUCUGGAUAGCAAGGGAGUAAUUUAACUUUUGCUUAAUGAUAACUUGGUUUUCUGGGAAACUUGUCUAAAUCAAAGUUGUGGUAAGCUUUAUGAACUAGCUGUGGUUUAAAUUUGGGAUCAUUUGGCCCAGUAGUCUUGAAGUUAUGAUCUUUCCAAGUUAGGUUCCAGAAAUAGGUGUUCCCUGUUUUUCUGGGACAGAACCUGGAACUUUGUUUAUAAGGCUUGCUUAACUUAUGAAUAUUUCUGUGAUGUUUAAAUAUGGUUAAAUUUCUGGGACAGAACCUGGAACUUUAUUUUCGAAUGUUUACUUAAAUAUGUUAUAUCUAUUGAUGCAUUAAGUAUAGGAGUUGUGAUGAAACCUUUACUGCAUUUUACUCAAUCCUUGUCCAGAUAUCUUACCACUACCUGGUUAUGGAGUUAGGAUCGAGUAGCCGCUUAGCCAUGCUUUAAUCGGUAGAAGUCGGGUGAUUUCCUGUCACCUGCGCGAUAUAGGGUUAUAUCGGAUCACGAUGGACUAUAUGUGCUAUCGUGGAUGGAACCUGAUUAAAUUGACUUAAGCCGGGCGGAGUUUUGCAAGGUUGUAGUAACUCCGUCUGUGGCAGCUAAGGACCGACCAUUCUACGUCCUCUUGUCAUGUUGAACGCAUGCCUAACACUUAGUUGGCCGGAUAACUCGUUCCGACCGCAAAGCCUAGUAACAUGACUCAGGCCGGAAGGCCGGCAAGUAUAAAGUGCGCACUACCGGAGGAAGUGCGGUGUGCGGAGGACCAUUGGCGUAAGUCCAAAGGCAGGUGAAUUAAAAUUCCUGACCUCCCAGGUAGAGUGGUAGCCCUGGGAGUGCGGCGCUGAUCGGAACCGCGAUUCCUGAGUUGUACCAAAGGUGACCCGCUGGCUCUCCGACGGGGGAUGCUUGGGUGAGUGCUAGGAAUACCCCUCCAGCUGGAUGGGAAUUCGAUUUAAAUCGCCGUCUCUCCCGGUUAGUGAGAACUUGACAAAGCAGCGGCAAACGUAGCAUUCACUAAAGAACUUGGUUCAGAUAAUGAUGAUAGCAAGGAAGAACAUAUGAUGAACUUGAUAUGGUUAUUAUUGCUUGUGAUAAUCAAGUGAAGUGCUUUAGUACAGGUGCUAAUCUAGUGGUAGGCUGAUGAUGAUUAAAUAUGAUGCUCUCACAACAUUGUAGUUAUAAUUUAAGCUUUUGGCAAAUGUUGAGUCAACCAGCUCUACUUGAUAUUAGCCUUGCAUGAUCCUUGGUGUCUUUUAUGUUUUACUAGACGGGUAAGUCUAGCUGAGUACAUUCUCGUACUCAGGGUUUAUUCCCACCUGUUGCAGAUGAUAUCUUUUAUGAUGGCUUCUGCAAGACCUGUCUCCAUCCCGCUGGGAAUGAGGACUAACCGUUGGGCACAGUUCUCUAACAAACUCAUACCUGCUGCUUUUGGAAGGAUGGUGUACGACAAUAGCUAUAACAAGAACUUGUGAACUGAACUUUGGAAAGUGUGUGUAAUAAUUAUUUUGCUUCCGCUACUACAAACUUGGGUUGUAAUAACUAAGUACUCCGAUGUGGUGCCGCUUCGACGGCAAUGAAUGACUAUGUAACAUUCGCUGUGUUGUGUUUAACUAUUACGAUCUUGGUUUGUUGCAAGUUGGUUUGAAGUCCUUCGUGAUUUCAAUUGACUACCGGGAUUCUAUGGGCUCAAGUUUGGAAACUUGAUUGCUUGUCGAUCGUUUCUACACUUGAACUCUUAUAAUUUGGUCGGUUCUGUGACAGCUGGUAUCGGAGCAAGUUCAGCAUUAUAAAUGCAGCGUUUGUGUAUUUGAAAACAAAGAGUUUCUUAAAUAAAAUUUUGUAAAUCAAUAUAUAAUUAUGCCAGUGGUCGAAUCCUCCUUGCUCAUAUAAGGACUAUAGGUGGCUAUUUAAGUACUAACUUGAGGGGUUUUUAUUUAUGCAUCUCUGGCAGUACUCAGGUAUGGAUGUGUGAUGACCGCACUAUGCUACCCUAUGGUCUAAUGGUAGAGGUAGCCUUCAUAUGUGAAUUAGCCACAUAUGUCGCUAGAUUUAAAUUAUGCAACGUCGCACCUACGCUCUGGUAAGUGUGAGCUGUGAGAGCAUGAUCGUCCAAACGGCGGUCUAGGGGAGUGUUCGUGGUGGUUUUCUGGAGUGGUUACAUGUCAAAACCAUGGAACCACGAAAGAAACUUAAUUGGGGAGCAUUUAAUUUCUCGGGUAGCUGUGGUGUCAUUGUUUGUGCAUGUUGGGCAUGUCCAAGCAAUGUGCAUUUAGUUUACUGCUUUCUUGAGUGAUAUUGAGAACUAUUGGGCGGAAAUGAAGUUUUCUGCAAGUACUCUAACAGCGCACGUGUAAUUCGCUAGUUAUCGUAUCGAGAGACGAAUGUAUGCCACCGUAUAUCCGUUAGAAUAUUAAUUUUCUAAGUUUAUGAGGACGUACGGUUCGUGCAUGCAUCAUGUCGCAUUCAUACAUACAUUCCAUCUACUCCUUCCCUUACCAUGUCGUCCCUUUUAAUUAAAUAAAUGUUGCUUAAAAUUAAUCCUCUCUUACCCAUGGUAUUCCUAUUCCUUUCCACAGAUGGACGUGCCCGCUUCACCCCACCCCAGUGACACCUUUCUGAGCGUGUUUGGCACUCCUACCUUGCUCUGGAGGGUGCUACAGUCUGUGGGGUACACUGAGCCACCUCAGUAUUCUUGGUGGGAGGUGGAUAUGACAGGAGGGUUGCAGUGGUUUGCUGUGCAGGGAGUUGUCCCUCCACAUGGGGGCAGGCCUGCAUGGACAGGGUGGACCUGUAAUUCAGAUGGGCAGACUCCUUGGGAAGCAGCUCAGGUUGCAGCCCAGGCUAUGCUGCUCAAUAUCUGUCAGAGGUUUGGCGAUGAGUUGACAGGAGGACCAGAGGCCUCCAUUCCCCGUGCUGAUCCAGCAGCAGCGGAGUGGAAGCAGGCUGAUGGUUGUGCGUUGGUCCGAGGCAGGGGAGAGCGAGCUGAGAGUUCCAGUCCUGCUAUGAGUGCUAUGAUGGCUGUGCUCAAGCUGUUCAGUCAGCGAGAGGACACUUAUGCACAGGUGAUGGUGGCUGUUCGCCAGGCUCAGGAGAUGCAACAGAAGGCUAAAAAGCGUGCUCGCAAGUUUCGCAAGCAAGCUAGACUCCUGGAGCAAGCUCAGAAGGACCGCAAUGACUGGGAAGGCAUUGCGGAGUACCAUAGGCAGCAGUGGGUGAAGGCCAUUAGGGAGAGAGGUCAUAAGCAAGAUCAGAUGAGUUAGUUGGCUAGAGAGAGGGAGACAGUGCAGGAGCGCUUGGUGCAGGUCACUCGUGAGAGAGAUACUGCAUUCCGUGUGUUGGAGAACAGGCACCUGGCUUGGGAGAUGCACCAGAUUCAGUCGCUUGAGCGGGAGAACUAUCUGCAGGAUCAGAUUGAGGCUGGUCUUGUGGAGAUUCAUCGUCUCAACAACUUACUACACCCUAUUCCUCGCCCUGUACCCGUGUAUCCAGAGGUGGGACCUCAGGUGACUGUGGCUGAUGACGAUGGUAUGGAGGUCGAUGGGCCAGCAGCGGCUGCACCACCCUUGCAUGAGGACGUGGAGGACGAGGAGCUUGAGCCAGUUAGCGACGAGGAUGGAGAGGCGAUCUUCGACGCUGACUCGGACGACGAGCAUGGAGUGUAGUGGGUUGUGGGUAGUUGUUAUGUGAGGAUCUUUUGUAAUUUGGCAGUUAGCAGUGGUGCUUUUGUAAUCAUGAUGUAAUCCGGAACCUUGAUCUUGCCUUAUGUCAUGUACUGUGAUGGUGUAAUAACUUUAUGGACCGAAUGUGUAACCUUAACAUGUUCGAUUUGUUAUGACGAUGUUUUCCAUUGUGGUGCAUAUUACGGAUGUCUCUAUCAUGUGUUGGAUUGGUGAUGUUGUUUUGUGGAAUUGAAUUAUUGUGCCUUUUUCUGUAAAGUUAUUCUCUCGAAUACUUUCAGGCAUAAAUAUAAGUUCUUCUACAGCAAGUCUUGUCAUCAUCAAUGCUCACUGACUGUAUCUUUACAGAUGUCUCGUGGCACUAGAGGAGCGGAACAGCAUGCGAACAUGAACCCACCCCCUCGUCCUCCACCACCAAAUCUAGCUGAGCUGAUGCAAAUGAUGGUGGAAAACCAGAGAAUGCUCACUGAGACCAUCAAUCGGAUGGCAAAUCAGGGUGGUCGUAAUGCACAUGAAGGGCUAGCUCGUAAUCAGUAUAGCAGUUUCAAGGAUUUCAAGGAUACUAAGCCCCCACCUUUCAGAGAGGCUGAAGAACCCCUUCAAGCUGAGGAGUGGCUGAACACGGUGGAACAAAAGUUCCGCUUGCUUCAGCUGACCGAGGGUUUGAAGGCUGAGUAUGCAGCUCACCAACUACAAGGUCCAGCAGGCAUCUGCUGGAAUCAGUAUCGGGAAGCCCUUCCAGCCGACACUGUGCUUGACUGGAAUCUUUUCCGUGAAGCUUUCAAAGGGCAUUUCAUUCCUCCUGGUGUCAUGGAGAUGAAGCAUACCGAGUUUAUGCAGUUGACUCAGGGCAACAAAACUCUGAAGGAGUACUUGCAUGUUUUCAAUCAUCUGUCAAGGUAUGCUCCUGAGUUUGUGAACACUGAGGCAAAGAAGAUUGCCAGCUUCAAGCGGGGUUUGGGCCCCAAGUCGCUGAAGACUAUGGGCCGCACUAAGUGUGCAACUUUCAAUGAGUUUGUCAGUGAUGCUCUCACCCAAGAGAACUACAACACUAUGUACACUGCGACCAAGACUCGAAAGAGGGCUUUUGAGGCCAGGGCAGGGGCAUCACAGUCCAAGGCUCCAGUGGCAGCUAAGCCCCCGUACCGUGCUCCAACUCCUAACCAGCGGUAUCACCCUCCGGUGAAGAAGAAUCAGGAAAAGACGGGUUUUCGCAAGGGUUACUCCAUUGCUCUUCCUAGAGGUAACACAGGUCCCAGCUAUGCCAAGACCCCACCUGCCAACCGUCCGUGCUGAAACUGCAAUCAGACCGGGCACUGGCAGAGCAAUUGUCCUUACCCUCCGAAGAAGGGCAACGAAGGGAACGUCCGCCAGGGGCGUGUUCACUACACCACUUUGGAGGCAAUCCCUGCUGGUGAGGUAGUUACGGCUGAUAAGUUUCUGGUUAACCAAUGUGAUGCACUUGUGCUUUUUGAUUUAGGAGCAUCACAUUCUUUUGUGAGUUCAGACUUUGUGUCUAAGCAUAAUCUCAAGGCAAAUACACUUGAUAAGGGUAGUUAUUGCAUUAGUGCUGCUGGGAAUGAUAUUUCUACCAAUCAAGUGGUUUUUGGGGCAACUCUAGAAGUUGGAGGCCGUCAGUUUCUUGCUGAUCUGGUUGUCUUACCCGGUGUGGGUAUAGAUGUAAUUCUGAGUAUGAAUUGGAUGAGUGGUAACAGAGUUCUUAUCGACACCACCACUCGUGUAUUGAUGUUGAGAGACCCAAAUACCAGGGAAGCGUUCUUAGUGCAACUUCCUCGAAAUAUCCAUAUCCGUAGCACUGUGAAUGCAGUUACAGCUAAGGUCAUCCAGGAUAUUCCGGUGGUGUGUGAGUUCCCGGAUGUAUUUCCUGAUGAUUUACCCGGGCUUCCUCCAGAUCGAGAUGUGGAGUUCAAAAUUGAAUUGAUUCCAUGUACCGCUCCUAUCUCUAGAAGACCUUAUAGAAUGCCACCCAAUGAGCUAGCAGAGCAAAAGACCCAGUUGAAUGAGUUGUUGAAAAAGGGUCGUAUCCGUCCUAGUUCUUCUCCUUGGGGUUGUCCGGCUAUCUUUGUGAAGAAGAAGGAUCAAUCCUUGCGCAUGUGUGUGGACUAUCGUCCCCUGAAUGCGGUGACCAUCAAGAAUAAAUACCCUCUUCCUCGCAUUGAUAUCUUGUUUGAUCAGUUGUCUAAAGCUAAGGUAUUCUCCAAGAUUGAUUUGCGAUCUGGGUACCAUCAAAUCAAGAUCCGUCCUGAAGAUGUGCCUAAGACAGCUUUCUCGACGAGGUAUGGGUUGUAUGAGUAUCUCGUCAUGUCCUUCGGUCUUACGAAUGCACCUGCUCACUUCAUGUACCUCAUGAACUCGGUCUUCAUGCCCGAAGUAGACAAGUUUGUGGUGGUCUUCAUUGAUGAUAUCUUGGUAUAUUCUUGCAAUGAAGAGGAGCAUGCAGAGCAUCUGCGUGUGGUGUUGUCGCGCUUGCGUGGACAUCAACUUUAUGCCAAGUUCAGCAAAUGCGAGUUUUGGCUAAAGAAAGUACCUUUCUUGGGCCAUGUCUUAUCUGAAGAAGGCAUAUCGGUGGAUCCGACUAAGGUGCAAGAAGUGCUGGAUUGGAAGGUUCCAACUUUGGUACAUGAGGUUCGGAGUUUUCUCGGUCUGGCUGGGUAUUAUCAUCGAUUCAUUCCGGAAUUCUCAAAAAUAUCCAAGUCUAUGACUCGUCUACUUCAGAAAGAUGAGAAGUUUGUGUGGACGCCUGAGUGUGAAGAGGCAAUCCACAAGUUGAGGACAUUGCUGACAUCAGCUCCUGUCCUAGCUCAACCUGAUAUCGAGAAGCCCUUCGAUGUCUUCUGUGACGCAUCAGGUAUUGGUCUAGGCUGCGUGUUGAUGCAGGAAGGUCGCGUUAUCGCGUAUGCCUCGUGUUGGUAUUUGGUAACGCAAUUAGAAAAUGAUCCGCAAGCGCACGGAUAUCGGUGAGCAUUUCACCAGGGAGGUUAUCCAGAGUUAUCGUAUUUAUAUUUUUACCACUGGGAGAAAGGGUGCAUCUGACUAACCAAAUCUAUUGCUACUAUUGUUGACGGUCCUUAAGUAUCAAAUUUAAUUAUCAAAUAAAUAAAGAAAAGGAUCCAAAUGAAAUCAAGAUCUAGACUUAGGGUUUUAUCUGAUAGAAUUCCACGAGUUUUGGUGUUUGUCUAUUUCUGCAGGGAGUUAUCAGGAAAUAUGGAAGAAAGGCCCACAUGUCAGGAUUACGUAAAGAUAUUAACGUGCCGCGCAAUUAUCUUACAUCUAGAAGACUCAAGAAGCCACGAGACCGAAGCGGAGGCGAAACGGGGCCAGACCCUGGGCGGCCGCCCAGUUGGUCAGGGCGCCCGCCCACCUCUGGAGUCCAAUCAGGACUCUGCUUUGCGGGAAGUCUCCACCGACCUAAAGGAUGAUUCUAAACCAUACAAUCUAUGUCGGUUUGAUCCAAGGGCCCAUAUUCACUUGAAGGGACUAUAAAACCAGACCCCCUGGCCCCUGGAGGAGGGAGCCUCUCAACCCUAAUUCAUUGUUCCAUCAAGGGAGAAGAAGCCUCUGAUCAAGAUUAGAGACACCACAUCAAUUAGAUAUCUAGAUUAGCAUAGCUACAUAGGAUUAGAACUAGAAGGAGUCAAUCUUCGAUUGGUUUCCGGAUCUGUCAGGAGGAUUCUUGGUAAUUCUCUAAUUGUACUUCUAAUUGCUUUCUAAUUAUCUUUGUUCUUCAAUAUUAUGAAUAUGACUUUGUUCUACUUCAAUAUAUUGCUUAUGACUUUGCUCUACUUGCUUAUAUUCAAGAUUAUAUUGUUCUUAGUUUAUCAUAGUUAUGUACUUGGCUUAGUUAGAUACGAUCUAUAUACAUGCUUAGGAUCGUAUAGCGUUUAUCCAUCGGAUCCAUGGGUAAAUGAUAGAUAUUGUGUAGGCGUGGUGCUUAUACCGUAUUUAUCUGCGAUUGUACCCAAUAUGCCAGAUCGUGGGGUAGUUCGUGAUAGUGACAGCUUCAUUGAUUCUUAUAUAGUCCCCCUCUCGUGUAUUGGGCUGGCAGAGCAACAUUAUUACAGGGGAGUGAUUGCUAUGUUUCUCAUAUUCCUUGCUAAUAUCACUAUGCAUGGGCGUAGUCUUGUCUCGCAAUGAUUGCUAAGUAUGCUUGCACUAACUAUGAUAUGCUAGACUAUAUAGUUGAGAAUAACUUAGGGAAUAUUCUUGUAGUUCGUUCUAAUACCAUGCUAAUGACUUUCUAGAGUAUCUAAUUGAGGUGCUUAUCAUAUUUAUUAUGUGGCUAGAUCAGAUUAGUUAUCCUUGUCACUAUUAUCAUUUCAUAUAUCUUUUAUGUGACACUUAUCCCUGUAUGAUGAGUUAGAUAUAAUGUUCUCAAUUAUACAUGCAAUGAUAGAUGCUCAAUCUCAUAUUCUAUUCUGUAAUCAUUAGUGAUGAUUUCUAAUCCCUUCCCAGUGGUAAAAAUAUAAAUAACGAUGCCUAGAAUACUUCCCGGUUAAAAUGCUGCAUCGGUAUUAAUCUGUGCGCUUGCAGAUCCCAUUCAUUAUUUAUUUAGAAGAGCAAUUGCAUAUUUCAAUACCGCGUCUCUUAUAUCAUGCUGGGGAUGACAACUUGGCUUAAGUGGUGUGAGGGAUAGGUUUGGCAUUUUUGGCACCGUUGCUAGAUUUAGAACUUAGUCUACUUUUAGUAAUGAUGUUAAGAAUACCCAACAACUAUCCCUUUAGGCUACAAAGAAUGUCUCUCGAUGUGAGUGAUGUAUAGAGAAGACUGCAACCGUAGUCUCGUUCUAACCUUGGUAAGGAUGAUCUACUGUUCUAUUGGGGAGGCUCACGGAAUCUAGACAACACAAAGGAUGUUCGACCCGCACCUAUAAACCCUAGCCGUCCUGCUAACAAGAUAUGGGAUACAAAGGUAACUCGGAAAUGUCACGUUCCUCGCUACUACCACGGUCCAGCUAGUCAGGGGAUAUCUAUGAGUACCCUAGCCUAAACACCACGUUUACGCUAGCAAGUGAUUACUCUAAUACUCAACCGGAAGAGGAUUAAAGUAAACUCAUAAACCAAAGAACAAUAAAACAAGAACUUACUAGUAUUAGAAGUCGAAUUACUGAAGAAUCUUAGAAGCAAGCCUCGGGUUAGGAGACUUGAUCCCACAGGUACAACUCGGAGUAGACACCGACAGGCCGGCCUUCCUCCGAUCCACACCUCCACUCUGUUUCUCUCAAUCUAGUAGAAACUAGAAGAUCUAUUUCUACUUUACAUUGGUUGCUAAGCCUAAAAAGAAAUAUUAUUUAGAGAAGAGGUUUUCCUUCGACGGCACCCCUCAAUCUCUAUGAUAAUUUCUUGUCUUCUCCAGGGGCUAAGGGGGUCUCCUUAUAUAGUCCUCCUCUAUGCAUUUUUGGUUCAGCAGGCGAUGUGGUACUAAACUUUCCACCAUAUCUCAUUAAAAUGCACAUAGGCCUUAAUGGACCAAAAUCUGAUUUGGGCCCAAUUAAUCACGCAGCUCUUUUAUAUGGAGUCCUUCUUUUAUUAAUAUCUUUUGAUUCCGAACUCCAAAUAUAGCAAGUAAUAUAUGCAUUUCGAUCAGCUCGACGAGAUAUUUGCAAUGGUGUACUCCAUUCUGUGGGCGGGCGCCCAAGGGGGGUGGGCGGGCCUCUCGUUCGUUCUCGUGGCUUCUCGAGUCUUCUAGAUGAUAGAAAAUUGCGCGGCACGUUAAUAUCUCUAUGUAAUCCCGACGUGUGGGCCUUUCUUCCAUAUUUCCUGAUAACCCCCUGCAGAAAUAGACAAACACCAAAACUCGUUGAAUUCUGUCAGAUAAAACCCUAAGUCUAGGUGUUGGUUGCAUUUGGAUCCUUUUCUUUAUUUAUUUGAUGAUUAUAUUUGAUACUUAAGGACCGUCAACAAACUCCCCCAAGCUUACCUCUUGCUCGUCCCUGAGCAAGGAUGAACUCAAGAGUUUCUGCAGUGGUUUCAUUUCUUAAAAGUACACACGCAUUCAAGCAAGAUCUCAUCUCUGAGUUAGAAUAAACUGUUAAGACUUAAAACUUACUCAUUUUACCUUUUACCAUGGGGCUUGUAACCGUCACUUGUGUCUUGAGCAGUUAAAAGAUAGAACGGUCAAGUCAAGCGCCAUGUCUCUUAUUCUUGAUCAGCUAUAGCUCUAGGGUUUUUUGCAGAUUUUCAAAUAAAACUCAGAGAUUUCUUAUAUGACUCUCUCAGAUCUCUCUUUUGUGGUAUUUAUGGAUCCUUACCAAGGCAGUAAUGGUAUAUGCCUUCUCUCAAAGUAUGUGGUAUUUUUGGUAUGAGGCAUAGUGAUAUUGCCUUCUCUCUCACCCUACUCUAAUAAAGUUCUGAUAUCUGGAGCUCAUAGGUGGGAGACAGCUAAUACAUACUUACAAGACAUUUAUUGCAUAGUCAAACCAUGGAUCCAGAGAAACAAAUCAAUAAGUCAAAUCAAGAUGUGCAUGUGUGGCGAAUGAAUGGUGUAUGGUGAUGAUGGUGAUAAUGAUGGUGAAAGUCUAAUUCUAUUUUUAUGCUCUUUUGAGGGGAUACAUACCUUUCUUGUACUUUGAAGCUUUUUGGGGAGAAUGAGAUGCUCUAUAUUUUCUUUUUCUUUUCUCUCAGGUGGAUAUCUUGUACCCCUAAUUCUACUGUCGGACACUUGUCCAUUUUUACCUCUCGUCUCACUUUUUAUUUUCUUCGAGGUUCCGGGCACUUGCCCCUUUUUAUUUCCUCGUAUUAUUAUUAUUAUUUUUUUCUUUUCUCUUUCUCUUUUUUAGAGCACUCAUCUCCUAAAAGAAUGUAGCAAGUGGUAGUAACCAAAAUAACUAGAGCAUUUAUUUCACAGGGAAUAACAGGGAUAGGAAAAUUUUUUUUCCUAUUCUCUCCCGGAUUAGGAGUAGAAUAAUUUCGGGUGAAUGUGGAGAUGGAAAUGAGUGGAUGUAUGUGGAUGCGUACUUCCGGAGUAGAAGUAGCAUGUAUGAGUGAACGUGCAAGUGAAUCUUGAUUUUAACCACAUGACAAGCUCCUAAGGGUCUACACAGCUUGACCACACUCAAUGCUCAUAAGCAGUAAAAAGUAAAUAUGUGGCUCAAAGUCUAGCAAGCAUGUAUAUAUGGCUGUGGUAGGAUUUUAAACUCUCAUCAUACAGGAACUCAUCAUGUGUUAUUUUAAAGAUUUUUUCAAAGAUAAAAUUCUCCAGAAUUCUAGCAUCUCUAGGAACAGAUAAACAGCAGCUCAACCUUCCCAUAUCAUAUCCGUUAACGACUUAGACUUUAGAUCAAGUACUCUUCCCACAAGUUUAGGUUUAGAGCAAGCUUUAAAUUAUAACAGUUAUGCCUAAACUUGAGAGAGAUUUCAAUUUUAAGAACUAGUCAUGGCAGAGCAACUAUUCAUCAUUUCCAUGAGAGAGCUUAUCAUGAGGGUUCAUAGCAAACUUUAUUUAGUUAUUUAUUUAGCAAAAUAAAUAUAUAUAUAUAAAAGCACAAAAAUUUUAUUUGGGUUUUCAUGAUUAUGCAUCUUUUAUUAUUUGAGUAAAGUAUAAACGCGAGUAGAAACACUUAGCUGGAUAAAUGGGGGUGCUCUCCCCCAAGCUGGAUUUUGACGUAAUUUCUUCUGAUGUAGCUAGCAGGUAGUGGAGGUGUAUUUGAAAGUCGGCAGCACCCUAACAGCGAUUAGGAUGUCCUCCGUCUACUAGUCUUCUUUGAUCCUUGAAUUCUGUGGAGCUCAAAUAGACAACAAAGCUUUGUGAAACUGGUUAAGUGUUAGCAUAAAUAUCUAGCCUUUAUCAUGUUGAGACUCCUUAAUAAAUAUUACUCCCUAUUUUUAUAUUUUUGUUUUUAUAAAGCAGAAAAAUAUUUAUUUUAUUUUUAUGCCACCACAGUGAAUGUACUUAUAGGUUUUAUGCCACUCGUCUACUCACAUGGGGCUUACAGUUUUUCACAUUUUUAUUUUCUUUCUAGGAUAAUAUGAACAUGAUUAACUAAGCAAACUAUAAUUGAAUAAUUGAAAGGAAAAGGAUAACUACCAAGUUUACCUCUUGGCAAGGCGUUCGGUGUUUUUAAGUCCUCCGAACGGGACUCUCCGUUUUCUCAGUCGUCCUGGGAUUCGCUAGGUGGCGUAGUCGGUGAUUCCGGCGGCGCCUCCUCUUCGUGUAUAACUAUCUUCUCUCUUCACACCUGACUCGGUGCUACGGUCUCCUCAGGAUAGUUGUAUUCAAGCUGUAUGUCUUCAGUCCUUAUCACUUCUCCUUCGUAGUCUACCCAUCCGUCCUUGAUGAUUUGCCUCCUCUGGUUGCGGUUGCGUUGUCUUCUUCUUGUCCUGACCUGCUUAGAAUCUUCAACUAUAUAGUUAGAAUCAUUAAAGUAGUGGCGUACCUUCUCAGAGGGGAAGUGCAUGUGGACUUCUCUGGUUCCAAUAUAGAUAAUGGCUUUGAUAGUGCUGAGGAACGGUCUUCCAAGGAUGGUGGAUGGAUCAUACUCGUCUUCUCCCAUGUCAAUGACCUGAAAAUUGUCUGAAGCUGAAUGUAUCUUGGUUGUAGGGGCAUGGUUCCAUGUAGGAGCUGAUAAGUGCCUGCAGCCAUUAUGUUGUCGUCAGAUCCGGUGUUGUAGAGUGUCUUCUGAAAAGAGUAUCCGUUGAUUGUGCACUCGAUGCUUGGAACACCAGGGUCGUUCUUCUUGAUCAAGAAAGGUGACUUGAGUCGACGAUCUUGACCUUUUUGAACUGCAGUGACCAUCUUAGCUGACUCGGUCCAUAUUUGCUUGUUCCUGUUCCUCCUGUUGGUCCUCUUCCUUGGUUCAUAUCGGGAUUGCUCUGAAGCUUGUGUAGUCUUGUUCUUGAAGGAAAGUCUCCUUCUUCCCCUUGAUGUAGAAACUGAUCUUGGCAGCAUUAACGUAGAUGACCACUCUGGUGUUUAGGAAUGGCCUCCCUAAGAUGAUGGGUGCCCUCUCCUCACUACCAGUCUCUAUCACCAUGAAGUUUGCUGGAGCGUACAAGGUACCAACUCGGACACAGAGGUUCUUCAAUAUUUCCUUUGGGAAACUAAGUGUCUGAUCUCCAUUGUGUUUGUGCUCGUAGAUCCCGGUUCUUCACUUGGUGGAAUCUGGGAGUUGUAAAACUCCUCCAUGUUUUGUUUGAAGUGUACCUAUUCAUAGAGACAAGGCAGAGAUCAAGUGCAUGGGCCCUGUUGGUGGAAAACACCAACAGAACCAAAAGUGUAUUUGUUCUUCUCUAACCUUAAGCAUAGUGAGCAAGACAAAGUUGAUGGAUCAUGAGUGUAGCAUUUGUCAGAUCAGAUGGCUCAACCUAAUAGAAAGAUAAUCUAUCUAUAUUUAUGUUUUGUUUAUAUCUUCCAAAGAUUGCAUGUGCAAUACUUUAGCUUAUAUGAUUAGGAGUGUGGGGUCACGAAGGUAGUACUAAGAACAAAGAUUAAAGGACUAAACAUGUUGAAUUAAUUGAGUUGGUUAAUUUGGAGUUAUAAAUCAUACAUGUUUGUCUCUUUAUUUAUGUGAAUGCCAGAACCAAGGAGGAGCUUAUAAAAGUGUUAGUCAAGUACCUUAAGAUGUUACCUUACUUGAAGAGUGAUGGUACAGUAUCACCUUGUGGAAGCUUUCCUUUCUUAGCGGUUGUGCAUCGUGUUUGUGGCACCCAACAUGAAUCAUCUCUUAUGAGCUACGUCUUUCUUGUGCAAAUUGUUAAACUUCAUGUGUCACUUUCUUCAUCUCCAAUGAGUUUGCAUCUCAGGACUUCCCAGGUUGAUAUUGAAAGUUUUCCUACUGGGGUUAGUCCAACAAAAUAUACCAAUAUCUACUCAAGCAGUUUUUAGUUCAGUAACCAAACUAGACUCCAUGUCUAAUCAGAUUAAGGAAGGCUAUUUAACCUAAGCACCACGCUUAAUUUAAAUGCCAUUGGAAGUGUGUCCAGUACUUCCAAACUAACACUUACUAGGAUAAACAAAGGUAGCAUGAUGGCUUUUAUAGAGAUCUACUCAAGUGGAGAUGAAGUAGUGUGAUUAGUAUUUAACAAAUUGAGCAUGUCUCAAAGGUAAGGACAACCAACAUAGCAACAUGGCAAAGGAUGUUUUAUGUAAAGUACUCCCCCAAGCUUGAAUUUUGCAAAAUUUAAGAUUGGAUGAAUUUAAUUUAAUGUUGCAUGAUGAUUGGUUGGGCAUACCUUGCGCUCGUCAUUCAUCCGAUCUUCUUGCUCCAAUCCUAGAAAGGUUAGUGGCAAGAAUACCCGAAGGAAUAUUUCUACAAUUAUCUUUAUAUGCUCAAUACACAAGGCAAUGUUGCAAAUAAUUAGAAGUGCUUGUUUUAGGACAUUGUUGACGGUUCUUAAGUAUCAAUUUUAAUUAUCAAAUAAACAAGAGAAAGGACCAAUAUGCAACCAUCACCUAGAAUUAGGGUUUGAUCUGACAGAAUUCCACGAGUUUUGUUGUUUAUCUAUUUCUGCAGGGGGUUAUCAGGAAAUAAGGAAGAAAGGCCCACAUGUCGGGAUUACAUAGAGAUAUCAACGCACCGCGCAAUUUUACAUCAUCUAGAAGACUCCAGAAGCCACGAGACCGAAGCGGAGGCGAAGCUGGGCCAGGCUCAGGGCGCCCGCCCUGGAAGCCUGGGCGCCCGCCCCCCUGCUGGAGCCAAUUCAGGACUCCUUCGCUCGGGAUAUUCCACCGACCUAUUGGAUCAAGAAAAACAUAGUACCACCUCGGCUAUCGACCCAAAAACGCAUAGAAGGGGAGGACUAUAUAAGCGAGGCCCCCCUGGCCCCUGGAAGACAUGAAGAAAUUAUCAUAGAGACUGAGGGGUGCCCUCGAAGGAAAACCUCUUCUCUAAUUAAUAUUUCUUUUUAGGCUUAGAAAUCAAUGUAAGGUAGAAAUAGAUCUUCUAGUUUCUACUAGAUUGAGAGAGAUAGAGUGGAGGUGUAGAGUGGAGGAAGCCCGGCCUGUCGGUGUCUACUCCAAGCUUGUACCUGCGGGAUCAAGUUCUCCUAACCCGAAGCUUGCUCCUAGGAUUCUUCAGUAAUUCGACUUCUAAAUUCUAGUAAGUUCUUGUUUUAUUGUUCUUAUGGUUAUGAGUUUACUUUAAUCUCUUCGCGUAGAGUUUAGAGUAAUCAUUGCUGGCGUAAACGUGGUGUUUAGGCUGCGGUACUCAUAGAUAUUCCCUGACUAGCUGGACCGUGGUAGUAGUGAGGAACGUGACAAUUCCGAGCUACCUUUGUAGAUCACAUCUCGUUAGCAGGAAGGAUAGGGUUUAUAGGUGCGGGUCGAACAUCCUUUGUGUUGUCUAGAUUCCGUUAGCCUCCCCAUUAGAACAGCAGAUCAUCCUUACCAAGGUUAGAAGGAGACUACGGUUGCAGUCUUCUCUAUUUAUCACUCACAUCGAGAGACAUUCUUUGUGCCUAAAGGGAUAGUAGCAAUAGAUUUGGUUAGUCAGAUGCACCCUUUCUCCCAGUGGUAAAAAUAUAAAUACGAUACUCUGGAAAACCUCCCGGGUGAAAUGCUCACCGAUAUUCGUGCGCUUGCGGAUCAUUUUCUAAUUGCGUUACCAAAUAUCAACAAGCAUUUCUGGCGCCGUUGCCGGGGAGAAAGACGGUUUGCUGAGAUAACUUUGAGUCUUGCUAUUAUCUUGUAUUAUACUUUUAUACUUUUAUUCUUUUAUCUUUUUAUCUUUAUGGAUAACUUAGAUUCCAUACCUAUUAUUAAAUUCUUUGCACCUUCGGAGACCAGCCAUAGACCAUGGGAGUCAACACGUCCUGCCCCUAAUUAUGAUAUGUGUCCGGAGUUGAUUGCAAUAGGUCAAAACCAACCCUUUUCUAUAGCUGAGGUCCUAUCUUUUAAUCAAAAAGAUAAUGCACUUUUAGCUACACCUAGGGAAUCUUUUAAUUUUUCUAUAAAUUUUGGUUUAGACCUAGCCUUGCAAGACCAUGUUUUUCCUAGAUAUUUUCACAAUCGUCUUAAUCAUAUAACCUUUGGUAGAGUCCUUCUUUCUUUAUCAGUUAGUAACGGAAGGUAUGUCUUCAUUCGUGGACAUCCUUCUUGUACUAGUCUUCAUAGAAAAAUCAUAGAGAUAGAGAAGGAAUCAUCUCCCAUACAAGGAGAGGAAGUUUCAAUAGCCGAUUUCCAAACUUUCCAAUCCCAUGAUUCGGCUAUCCAACCCAUCCUUGAGCCUAAUAAUCUCUACUAUGCUCUUUCUCUUGAACCUCCCGAUAAUCCUAUGAAUCUCUCUAGACAUCCCAUGCAUAAGGAGGAUCGAGGAGAGCAACAUCAAUGGCUAGAGGGCAUUAAAAAUUCAUGUGCUAUCACCAAAUUUGAGAUCUCCAACCCUCUCUUUUUUUCUAUUUAUAAAAACCUUAAAAGAGCGGUUGUCGAUGCAUAUGUUUAUAACAAAUAUUGCAGAUCUCGUCGAGUUAAUUGAUGGUUUCCCAGGACAAGCUUAGUGUCCUAAAACAAGCACUUAUCAGAUUGUAACAUGAACUUCUAAUUACUUGCAACAUUACCUUGUGUAUUGAGCAUAUAAAGAUAAUUGUAGAAAUAUUCCUUCGGGUAUUCUUGUCACUAACCUUUCUAGGAUUGGAGCAAGAAGACCGGAUGAAUGACAAGCGCAAGGUAUGCCCAACCAAUCAACAUGCAACAUUGAAUUAAAUUCAUCCAAUCUUGAAUUUUGCAAAAUUCAAGCUUAGGGGAGUACUUCACAUAAAACAUCCAUUGCCAUGUUGCUAUGUUGGUUGUCCUUACCUUUGAGACAUGCUCAAUUUGUUAAAUACUAAUCACACUACUUCAUCUUCACUUAAGUAGAUCUCUAUAAAUGCCAUCACGCUACCUUUGUUUAUCCUAGUAAGUGUUAGUUUGGAAGUACUGCACAUACUUCUAUUGGCUUUUAAAUUAAGCAUGGUGCUUAGGUUAAACAGCCUUCCUUAAUCUGAUUAGACAUGGAGUCUAGUUCGGUUAUCGAACUAAAAAUUGCUUGUGUAGACAUUGGUAUAUUUUGUGGGACUAACCCCUGCAGGAAAACUUUCAAUAUCAACCUGGGAAGUCCUGAGAUAAACUCACAUUGGAGAUAAAGAAAGUGACACAUGAAGUUUAGCAAUUUGCACAAGAAAGACGUAGCUCAUAAGAGAUGAUCCAUGGAGGGAGCCACAAACACGAUGCACAACCGCUAGAAAGAAAAGCUUCUACAAGGUGAUACUGUACCAUCACUCUUCAAAGGUAACAUCUUAAGGUACUUGACUAUCCUUUUAUAAGUUUCUCCUUGGUUCUGGCGUUCACAUAAAUAAAGAGACAAACAUGUAUGAUUUAUAACUCUAAAUUAACCAACCUAACUGAUUCAACAUGUUUAGUCCCUUAAUCUUUGUUCUUAGUACUACCUUCGUAAUCCCACGCUCCUAAACAUAUAAGCUAAUAUGUUGCACAUUCAAUCUUUGGAAGAUAAAAACAAAACAUAAAUAUAGAUAGAUUAUCUUUCCAUUAGGUUGAGCCAUCUGAUCUAACAAAUGUUUUAAAUGCUACACUCAUGAUCCAUCAACUUUGUCUUCCUCACUAUGCUUAAGGUUAGAAAAGAACAAAUACACUUUUGGUUCUGUUGGUGUUUUCCACCAACAGAGCCCAUGCACUUGAUCUCUACCUUGUCUCUAUGAGCAGGACACAUUUUGAGAAACGUGAAGGCAUUUUACAACUCCCAGAUUCCAUUAAGUGAAGAACCGGGAUCUACGAGCACAAACACAAUGGAGAUCAGACACUUAGUUUCCCAAAGGAAAUAUUAAAGAACCUCUGUGUCCAAGUUGGUACCUUGUACGCUCCAGCAAACUUCGUGGUGGCAGAGAGUGGUACUGAGGAGAGGGCACCCAUUAUCUUAGGGAGGCCAUUCCCAAACACGAGAGCUGUCAUCUACGCUAAUGCUGCCAAGAUCAGUCUCUACAUCAAGGGGAAGAAGGAGACUUUCCUUCAAGAACAAGACUACAUAAACUUCAGAGCAAUCCCAACAUGAACCAAGGAAGAGGACCAACAGGAGGAACAGGAACAAGCAAAUGUGGACCGAGUCAGCUAAGAUGGUCACUGCAGCUCAAGGAGGUCAAGAUCAUCGACUCAAGCCACCUUUCUUGAUCAAGAAGGACAACCCUGGUGUUCCAAUCAUGGAGUGCACAACCAAUAGAUACUCUUUUUAGAAAACACUCUACGACACCGGAUCUAACAUCAACAUAAUGGCCGCAGUCACUUAUCAGCUCCUGCAUGGAACCAUGCCCCUACAACCAAUAUAUAUUUAGCUCCAGAUGAUUUUUAGAACAUUGAUAUGGGAGAAGACGAGUACGAUCCACCCAUCAUCCUUGGAAGACCAUUCGUCAACACUAUCCAAGUUAUCAUCUACAUUGGAACCGGAGAAGUCCACGUGUAUUUCCCCUCUGAGAAGGUACGCCAUUACUUUAAUGAUUCUAACUAUAUAGUUGAAGAUUCUAAGCAGGUCAGGACAAGAAGAAGACGACGCAACCGCAACCAGAGGAGGCAAAUCAUCAAGGACGGAUGGGCAGACUACGAAGGAAAAGUUGUAAGGUCAGAAGACGUUGAGUUUAAACAGAAUUAUCCAGAGGAGACGGAAGCACCAAGUCAGGAGUGGAAAAGGAAGAUAACUAUACAUGAAGAGGAGGCGCUACCGGAAGUACCGACUAUGCCACCCAACGAACCUCAGAUAAUUGAGAAGGAGGAGAGUCCCGUUCGGAGGACUUAAAAACACCGAACGCCUUGCCAAGAGGUAAACUUGGUAGUUAUCCUUUCCCUUUCAAUUAUUUCAAGUAGUUCACUUAGUUAAUUAAGUUUUAAACAGAAAGUAAAAAUGUGAAAAACAGUAAGCCUCAUGUGAGGAUACGAGUGGCAUAAAACGCAUAAGUACAUUCACUGUGGUGGCAUAAAAAUAAAACAAAAAUAUUUUUCUGCUUUAUAAAAUAAAAAAUAUAAAAACAGGGAGUAAUAAUUAUUAAGGAGUCUCAACAUGAUAAAGGCUAGAUAUUUAUGCUAACACUUAAUUAGUUCCACAAGCUUUGUUGUCUAUUUGAGCUCCACAGAAUCUAAGAAUCAAGAAGACUGGCAGACGGAGGAUAUUCUAAUCGCUGUCACAAUGCUGCUGACUUUCAAAUACACCUCUGCCACCUGCUAGCUACAUCAAGAGAAAUUACGUCAAAAUUCAGCUUGGAGGAGAGCACCCCAUUUAUCUCGAUAAGUAUUUCUAUCUAUCUAUCUCUAUACUUAUAUUCUUUUAGAAUAUAAAUAUACAUAACUAUGAAAAACCAAAUAAAGAUUUUAUGCUUAUAUAUAUGUCUUUUGCUUAGUGUGUUUAAUAAAUAAAUAAAGUGGCUAUGCUAAUCUGUAUCUAAAUAAAACUCAAGCAUGGAAAUGAUGAAUAGUUGCUCUACCUAAUUUGCACAUUUUAAGUUCUCUCUCAAGUUUAGACAUAACUGUUAUAAUUUAAAGCUUGCUCUAGACCUAAACUUGUGGGAUGAAAACUUGAUCUGAAAUCUAAGUUGUUAACAGAUACGAUAUGGGAAGGUUGAGCUGCUAUUUAUCUGUUUCUAGAGAUGCUAGAAUUCUGGAGAAUUUUAUCUUUGGAAAUCUUUAAAAUGUUGCAUGAUGAGUUCCUGUAUGAUGAGAGUUUAAAUUCCUACCACAGCCAUAUAUACAUGCUUGCUAGACUUCGAGCCACACAAUUACUUUUUACUGCUUAUGAGCAUUGAGUGUGGUCAAGCUGUGUAGACCCUUAGGAGCUUGUCAUGUGGUUAAAUCAAGAUUCACUUGCACGUUCACUCACACAUGCUACUUCUACUCCGGAAGUACCAUCCACAUAUAUCCAUACAUUUCCAUCUUCAGAAUCACCCAAAAAUAUUCUACUCCUAAUCCGGGAGAGAAUAGCCAAAAAUAAUUUUGUUCUUCCUUGUGUAAUAAAUGCCUCAAGAUCAAUAAAGAGUAUUAUUAUUAUGUCUUGUGUGUCUCUACUUUAUUUUUGUGCAAGAAAGCAGAAAACAAGUAUGGGGGAGAUCCCUCGACAUGCUAAACACACUCCGACUACACCACUCCACGAUUCAGGUACACACUCUGCACACUUUACUUCAUACAUAUAUUUAUUUUGGAUUAUGCAGAUUACUGUUUCCGACAUGAUAAAAUAAAAAGAUUAAAAUAUUUCUAAUCAUGAUUAAUCUCAAUCUGUGAUAUUUCCUGAAAACUUGCAAUUAGUAUAAAAUCAUUUUUAAAAACCCUAUGUUACUUAAGUCAAGAUGGAAUAUGUGAUGGUAGAGUAUGAGUUUCUUAUUCUUGAUAUCAUUGUUGGUUGGAGAAUUUAUUUCAAAAUGUUCAAAUUCAUAGCUACCAUCCUCAGUGUUUUAUAUGCCUGAUAAAACUGAAAUAUUAAUUAUGAUUAUAAAAGCUAUCUGCUCUGUAUUGAGUUUGUUCAAAAUGAGUUAGACCCUUGUUGAGAGAUUUAUCAUGCUCCCAAGAUCAAGACACUAUUUCAGUAAGAUUCACUCUUUCGAAGUAUUAUUGCAUUAGAGGCAUGGGCUAUGCAAAAAUAGAAAUAUUUCGAGGAAAUAAAAAGGAGCAAGUGCUCGACAACCUCGCAGAAAAAAAUGGACAAGUGUCCGGCAGUAGAAUUAGGGGUACCUCGGUAUCCACUUAAAAAAAAGAAAAGAGAAAAAAAUGACAGCCCAUGGUCCCUCUAAUAAGCAAUAUGCGAGCAAGAGUUGACAAAGUUUUUAAGUUCCAAAGUCUUUGAUCUAAGAGUAUGACAUUUCCCUCCUCGGAUCCCGUUUUGAUCAGGCAAUAAAUGCAAAGUAAGUAUGUUUGAGAAUUUUUUGCAAAAAUUAAAACAGCCUCAGCGAGAUAUAUAUAAAAGAUAAUGAGUGAUCUGAGAGAACCUAUGAGGAUCAAAAGGUAUGCUAACUUUCUUUCAAAAAUAUACAAAAACUCCAAGUGACAGGAUUGAGAAGAAAGGAUCUUUACUCUUAACCAUAUACAUCUCUGAUUAUGGUACACAGUGGAUUUUUAACACCCUGCAAAUAUAAAGAAUGUUUUAAAUGUUUACCCCAAAUAUUGUUCUUAACCAUCCUUUUCUCGAGGACGAGUAAAAGCCUAAGUAUGGGGGUAUUUGUUGACGGUUCUUAAGUAUCAAUUUUAAUUAUCAAAUAAACAAGAGAAAGGACCAAUAUGCAACCAUCACCUAGAAUUAGGGUUUGAUCUGACAGAAUUCCACGAGUUUUGUUGUUUAUCUAUUUCUGCAGGGGGUUAUCAGGAAAUAAGGAAGAAAGGCCCACAUGUCGGGAUUACAUAGAGAUAUCAACGCACCGCACAAUUUUACAUCAUCUAGAAGACUCCAGAAGCCACGAGUCCGAAGCGGAGGCGAAGCUGGGCCAGGCUCAGGGCGCCCGCCCUGGAAGCCUGGGCGCCCGCCCCCCUGCUGGAGCCAAUUCAGGACUCCUUCGCUCGGGAUAUUCCACCGACCUAUUGGAUCAAGAAAAACAUAGUACCACUUCGGCUAUCGACCCAAAAACGCAUAGAAGGGGAGGACUAUAUAAGCGAGGCCCCCCUGGCCCCUGGAAGACAUGAAGAAAUUAUCAUAGAGACUGAGGGGUGCCCUCGAAGGAAAACCUCUUCUCUAAUUAAUAUUUCUUUUUAGGCUUAGAAAUCAAUGUAAGGUAGAAAUAGAUCUUCUAGUUUCUACUAGAUUGAGAGAGAUAGAGUGGAGGUGUAGAGUGGAGGAAGCCCGGCCUGUCGGUGUCUACUCCAAGCUUGUACCUGCGGGAUCAAGUUCUCCUAACCCGAAGCUUGCUCCUAGGAUUCUUCAGUAAUUCGACUUCUAAAUUCUAGUAAGUUCUUGUUUUAUUGUUCUUAUGGUUUAUGAGUUUACUUUAAUCUCUUCGCAUAGAGUUUAGAGUAAUCAUUGCUGGCGUAAACGUGGUGUUUAGGCUGGGGUACUCAUAGAUAUUCCCUGACUAGUUGGACCGUGGUAGUAGUGAGGAACGUGACAAUUCCGAGCUACCUUUGUAGAUCACAUCUCGUUAGCAGGAAGGAUAGGGUUUAUAGGUGCGGGUCGAACAUCCUUUGUGUUGUCUAGAUUCUGUUAGCCUCCCCAUUAGAACAGUAGAUCAUCCUUACCAAGGUUAGAAGGAGACUACGGUUGCAGUCUUCUCUAUUUAUCACUCACAUCGAGAGACAUUCUUUGUGCCUAAAGGGAUAGUAGCAAUAGAUUUGGUUAGUCAGAUGCACCCUUUCUCCCAGUGGUAAAAAUAUAAAUACGAUACUCUGGAAAACCUCCCGGGUGAAAUGCUCACCGAUAUUCGUGCGCUUGCGGAUCAUUUUCUAAUUGCGUUACCAAAUAUCAACAGACACUAAGCUUGUCCUUGGGGAACCAUCAAUUAACUCAACGAGAUCUGCAAUAUUUAUUAUAGACAUACGCAUCGACAACCGCCCUUUUAAAGUUUUUAUAAAUAGAAAAGAAGAGGGGGUUGGAGAUCUCAAAUGUGGUAAGGAUGGAGAGACAAAUUGAUUGGAGAGAUGUUUUAUAUGAGCAAGGACUGGGUGAGGUAUUUAUGAAAUAACUUCCAUGCUCACUGUUGUUUCUCUCGUUCUCAAACUCCAAGGAUGAUUCUUCAUGAAUGUUUAAAAUUCCUCUAGGAUUGUCUCUCAAGUUUGUUUUAUCUAUCCAUUCAAUGGUGAUAGCACAUGGAUUUUUAAUGCCCUCUAGCCAUUGAUGUUGCUCUUCUCGAUCCUCCUUCUUAUGCAUGGGAUGUCUAGAUAGAUUCAUAGGAUUAUCGGGAGGUUCAAGAGAAAGAACAUAGUAGAAAUUGUUAAGAUCAAGGAUGGGUUGGAUAGCCGAAUCAUGGGAUUGAAAUGUUUGGAAAUUGGCUAUUAAAACUUCCUUUCCUCGUCUAGGAGAUGAUUCCUUCUCUAUCUCUAAGAUUUUUCUAUGAAGACUAGUACAAGAAGGAUGUCCACAAAUGAAGACAUACCUUCCUUUACUAAUAGAUAAAGAAAGAAGGACUCUACCAAAGGUUAUAUGAUCAAGACCAAUGUGAAAAUAUCUAGGAAAAACAUGGUCUUGUAGGGCUAGGUCUAAACCAGAAUUUAUAGAAAGAUUAACAGAUUCCCUAGGUGUAGCUAAAAGUGCAUUAUCUUCUUGAUUAAAAGAUAGGACCUCGGCUAUAGAAAAGGGUUGGUUUUGACCUAUUGCAAUCAACUCCGGACACAGAUCAUAAUUAGGGGCAGGACGUGUUGACUCCCAUGGUCUAUGGCUGGUCUCCGAAGGUGCAAAGAAUUCAAUAAUAAGUAUGGAAUUUGAGUUAUCCAUAAAGAUGGAAAAAAUAAAAAGAUAAAAGAAUAAAAGUAUAAAAGUAUAAUACAAGAUAAUAGCAAGACUCAAAGUUAUCUCAGCAAACCGUCUUCCUCCCCGGCAACGGCGCCAGAAAUGCUUGUUGAUAUUUGGUAACGCAAUUAGAAAAUGAUCCGCAAGCGCACGGAUAUCGGUGAGCAUUUCACCCGGGAGGUUAUCCAGAGUUAUCGUAUUUAUAUUUUUACCACUGGGAGAAAGGGUGCAUCUGACUAACUAAAUCUAUUGCUACUAUCCCUUUAGGCUACAAAGAAUGUCUCUCGAUGUGAGUGAUGUAUAGAGAAGACUGCAACCGUAGUCUCGUUCUAACCUUGGUAAGGAUGAUCUACUGUUCUAUUGGGGAGGCUCACAGAAUCUAGACAACACAAAGGAUGUUCGACCCGCACCUAUAAACCCUACCCGUCCUGCUAACAAGAUAUGGGAUACAAAGGUAACUCGGAAAUGUCACGUUCCUCGCUACUACCACGGUCCAGCUAGUCAGGGGAUAUCUAUGAGUACCCUAGCCUAAACACCACGUUUACGCUAGCAAGUGAUUACUCUAAUACUCAACCGGAAGAGGAUUAAAGUAAACUCAUAAACUAAUGAACAAUAAAACAAGAACUUACUAGUAUUAGAAGUCGAAUUACUGAAGAAUCUUAGAAGCAAGCCUCGGGUUAGGAGACUUGAUCCCACAGGUACAACUCGGAGUAGACACCGACAGGCCGGCCUUCCUCCGAUCCACACCUCCACUCUAUCUCUCUCAAUCUAGUAGAAACUAGAAGAUCUAUUUCUACUUUACAUUGGUUGCUAAGCCUAAAAAGAAAUAUUAUUUAGAGAAGAGGUUUUCCUUCGAGGGCACCCCUCAAUCUCUAUGAUAAUUUCUUCUCUUCUCCAGGGGCUAGGGGGGUCUCCUUAUAUAGUCCUCCUCCUCUAUGCAUUUUUGGUUCAGCAGGCGAUGUGGUACUAAACUUUCCACCAUAUCUCAUUAAAAUGCACAUAGGCCUUAAUGGACCAAAAUCUGAUUUGGGCCCAAUUAAUCCCGGAGCUCUUUUAUAUGGAGUCCUUCUUUUAUUAAUAUCUUUUGAUUCCGAACUCCAAAUAUAGCAAGUAAUAUAUGCAUUUCGAUCAGCUCGACGAGAUCUUUGCAAUGGUGUACUCCAUUCUGUGAUUGGUGGAAACACCUGGGCGGACGCCCAAGGGGGGUGGGCGGGCCUCCCGUUCGGCCUCCCGUUCGUUCUCGUGGCUUCUCGAGUCUUCUAGAUGAUAGAAAAUUGCGCGGCACGUUAAUAUCUCUAUGUAAUCCCGACGUGUGGGCCUUUAUUCCAUAUUUCCUGAUAACCCCCUGCAGAAAUAGACAAACACCAAAACUCGUUGAAUUCUGUCAGAUAAAACCCUAAGUCUAGGUGUUGGUUGCAUUUGGAUCCUUUUCUUUAUUUAUUUGAUGAUUAUAUUUGAUACUUAAGGACCGUCAACACCUCGCGCCAACUUUGAAAGCAUGAGGUCAAUUACCCUACUCGCGACUUAGAAUUAGUAGGAGUUGUUCAUGCUUUGAAAAUCUGGAGGCACUACUUGUUGGGUAAUCUGUGCAAUAUCUACACCGAUCAUAAGAGCCUCAAGUACAUCUUCACUCAACCUAAAUUGAACAUGCGGCAGUGAAGGUGGCUUGAGUUGAUUAAAGAUUAUAAUCUACAAGUGCACUAUCAUCCGGGCAAGGCAAACGUGGUUGCGGAUGCCUUUAGUCAGAAAGUGCACUGUCACUCAAUCCAGGUGGAAGAUCUGUUGUUGUCACAUCUUAUGCACCCACUUGUGCUCAACCAGAUUUCUCUGGAGAGUACUCUUCGCAAUCAAGUCAUCGCAUUCCACCAUAUAAAGAGGAAAAUGAAAGAAGAAGAAACCAAGCAUUUCCGGGUCGAUGAGAACAGAGUUCUUUGGUUCAAAGAUCGACUCGUGGUUCCAAAAGACCGUGAACUACGAAAUUAGAUCUUAUCUGAAGCUCAUUCAUCCAAAUUGUCUAUCCAUCCUGGUAGUAGCAAGAUGUGUCAGGAUCUGAAACCUCUAUUUUGGUGGACAAAGAUGAAACAAGAGAUUGCUGCUUUUGUCGCUCGUUGUGACAAUUGUUGCCGCGUGAAGGCCGUUCACAUGAAAGCUGGUUUACUUCAACCCUUGUCAAUUCCUGGUUGGAAAUGGGAAGAAGUCAGCAUGGAUUUCAUCGUUGGACUUCCAACUUCUGUCAAGGGUUACGACUCUAUCUGGGUGAUUGUAGACCGUUUGACCAAGGUUGCUCGUUUUAUUCCAGUCCGAACUGACUAUCAUCCACAUCAAUAUGUGGAGUUGUACUUUGAGCACAUUGUCCGUCAGUAUGGUGUGCCUUGAACUAUCAUAUUAGACCGUGGACCACAGUUCACUACCCAUUUUUGGGAAUGUCUACAUGAGCAGAUUGGUACUCACUUAGUCCGUAGUUCGGCAUAUCAUCCCCAAACAGCAGGUCAAACUGAACGGGUCAACCAAAUCCUAGAAGACAUGUUGAGGGCAUGUGCUCUCUCUUCUAAAGGUUCUUGGGUUAAGUGGUUGCCAUUAGCUGAGUUCUCCUACAACAAUAGUUAUCAGGAAAGUAUCAAGAUGGCUCCAUUUGAAGCCCUGUAUGGUCGAAAGUGUCGAACCCUGUUGAAUUGGGUGGAAUCCGGGGAACGAAGAUAUUAUGGCAUCGAUUUCGUGAACGAAGCAGAGCAGCAAGUCCGUACCAUCCAGCAACAUCUGGAAGCUGCUCAAGCUCGUCAGAAAAGUUAUGCUGAAAAAAGAGGGAAGCCGAUUGAGUUUGCAGUCGGUGACCAUGUGUAUCUCAAGGUGUCUCCGAUGAAGGGUGUACAAAGGUUCGGAGUCUAGCGAAAGCUUGCACCUCGUUAUGUGGGACCUUAUCGGAUUCACGAAAGGAAAGGAGACGUAGCAUACAAAGUUCAACUCCCAGUUGAACUUCGAGCUAUUUUUCCUGUCUUCCACGUAUCCCAAUUGAAGAAGUGCCAUCGUGUUGCGGAGGAACGAGUGGAAGUUUGGGAUAUCAAGUUGAAGUCGGACUUGGUGUAUGAUGAAAAACCUGUAGCGGUACUUGAAUGCAAGGAACGGGUGACUCGUAAUCGUGUGGUUAAGUUCUACAAGGUGUUGUGGAGUAACCACGAGGAGGAAGAUGCCACUUGGGAAACAGAGGACUAUUUAAAAGAAGUUUAGAAAACAUUCUUGGAAAAUUAGUAAGCUUUCAAAUCUCGGGAUGAGAUUUUUGUAAGGUGGGAGGGCUGUAACACCCCAGUGUUAUGGUUGCAUAAAUCACAUGCAUAACAUGAGCAUCAUCAUCUACUCAAGCAUUCCAUGAUCAUCAUCUACCUUGGGCCAUGUCAUUUUAUGCAAAAAUGUGAUUUAAGUUGUCUUAAUAGGCCUCCUAGACUUGUGUUGGUGUGUACCAUGCUUGUGUUUGUGCUCUAUGCAUUGGUACUUAGUUUAUCUAUGCUUAACUCAACAUUAGGAGCAAUGUUCAUGUUGAUCACUUCUCCAAAAUAAUCACUUAAGUCAUACUUACUCAAAUAGGCCCUAGAAACCUCUUUUGCUUAGGCUUUUAAAAAGUGUUUCAUAAAUUAUUUGCAUGUCACAACUUUCUACAGCAAAGUUGUAGAAUAUUUUAUAAGGAACAAAAGUUGUUUUAUGGCCAUCUCAUGAAAAUGAUCACAUCUUGCUCAAAAAGUGCUUUCAAUGCAGAUUUGGGUGCUGUUUUGGCACUUAGCCAAAUUUGGCUAAGUCAUGGCAUUAACAGUUUGCUCAAACGAUUUUGAAAACAUCAUAUCAUUCAAACCAGGCCGAUCUAGCUCUUGCUCCAGUUGACAAUGUUGUAGAACUCAGCUAGUGCUCCAACUUUGUCAACUACACCAUUGCCUAACUCACGCUGGUUUGACAGUUAAUCGUUGUCAAAGUACCUCUGUCGGUCGGUCAUCGUUUUGUCUGAAUCAGAACGGAGCUCGUCGACGUGGCCGACCGGCGGCAGAGCAACGGCGACAUUUGGCAUCCGUACGUCGUUCCUGGCCCCGCUCGUCAGCUCCCAGCGUGCGCAUGUCCUCCACGGCGACGCCCGGGCGAAGUGGACGCGUCCAUUCCUCUCUGCCUCGCCCUCUCUCGCCAGAAACGCGGCCGCAGCGAGCUCACCGUCGCAAGCUCACUCCGGCGAGCUCGUACGUGUUCCUCGCUGCAUCGCUGUCCACCAAACUUCGCCCACAGCUCCGCCGUGAACCGCUCUCCACUCUCCACCCGCAAACUCACCGUGGAACCCUCCGGUGAGCCGACAUUCCCAACUUCCCCAAAUCGGGUCGCCGUGAUCUUCUUCUCCGACGAUCUCAAUGCCGAGCUCUUCGAAGCCUCUCGUCUUCUCUGGUUAGGUCCUAGAGGUAGCUUAGAUCCUUAGCAAGCGUUUGCGCCACUUGGUGGAUGCUCUACCGCGCUCACCGUCGCCGGACACGACGCGCAGCGCCGCCGUGUUUCCACCGGAGUUAGGCUCUCUCGUGGCCAGCUCCUUCCACACCGUCUCAGGCCAAGCCACCUACCUAGAAAGCUUCGUCGUAGUCCGCUGGUGCUGUAGGAAACCCUAGGUCGCGCUCUACCGGCUUGAGGGCUCCGGCGUAACGCCGAGCACCUCCGCCGAGCCUCCAUGAUCGACGGCGAGACAUUUCUGGUGGCUCCGCCGUGGGGAAAAGGGGGUCAAUCGAGUCGCAAGGGUCUGGCUGUCACGAUGGUGCCCUUGGUUUGGCCGGAGACCUCGCCGUCGCGGAGAAAUCGCCGGCGAGAGUCGCCUCGGCUGUGGGGAAGACGACCCUGACAUGCAGGGCCCGCUGUCAGUGUCACCUCACUUCCCUCCUUUUCUUUAUUCAAAUCCAGAUUUUUAGCUUUAUUGCAAAAAUCAUAUCUUGUGUUUCUGAGAUCCAGAAAUUGUGAAACCAAUUUUGUGAUGUUCAUUGAGAUGGCUAGUUUUAUUAUAAAUAUAAAAUGGACCAUGUUUUCUGGGAAAAAUAAUUAUUAGGAUUUAAUAUUGUUAUUUAUGAGUAAAUUCAUAUCUUUUGUUAUACUGCUCCUUUUGCCAUGAAAUUUUUAUGGUAGUCUCUGUGUGGUACUUGAAUGCUAUGAUAAAUAUUUCAGGAUUUUUGGAGUACUGCAUCUGUGUUAUGUAAUUUAUGAUUGAGAUAUAGCUUGUUUUCUUAUUAAAAUCAUAUUAUAUAAUGGAUGUUUAUGCUGAUGCUCUACUGUGGUGGCAAACUUGUUUAUGGUAUUGGUAACAUGUAAAUAAUCGGAAAUGUGUUGUUUGACAUAUAGCCAUGUUUCUGAAUUUAUGAAAUAAACACCUUGUCACAUGUUAAAUGCUUAUCUUAAGUUUGGCAUGUGCAAUUGCUCUGAAAUUUUUAUGGUGAUGUCACAAUGCUAUGCUUGUGCUUCUGUAAUUUUUGUAGAUUUUUCUGAGCAACUUUACUAGUAUCUUGUAAUUAUGCUCCUUUCUAGAAUUAAAUUAAUAAGUGCCUUGUUAGUAAAUGUUUAGAGGUUAACAUGUGAUGUUCUGGUGGUCUUAUGAUGUGUUUGUGCUGAUAAGUCUUGUGGUUGGCACUGUUUAUGUUUUGGCUAUGUCAUCAAAUAAUUAAUUGGUGGGCUAAAAGCUGUUCUGGACAGCAAGGGAGUAAUUUAACUUUUGCUUAAUGAUAACUUGGUUUUCUAGGAAACUUGUCUAAAUCAAAGUUGUGUUCAACUUUAUGAACUAGCUGUGGUUUAAAUUUGGGAUCAUUUGGCCCAGUAGUCUUGAAGUUAUGAUCUUUCCAAGUUAGGUUCCAGAAAUAGGUGUUCUCUGUUUUUCUGGGACAGAACCUGGAACUUUGUUUAUAAGGCUUGCUUAACUUAUGAAUCUUGCUGUGAUGUUUAAAGAUGGUUUGUAGACAGUUUCAUAAGCUUUCCAAAAUGUCCUCACUCAUGUUUGUUGGAUCUGCCUAGCAUUAGUUAUGACCUGUUUACUGAGCUAAUUCUGUUUUGUGAUGCUUGCUGAUAUAGUAACUUGGUAGGUUUUGGCUAAGCUAACUUAUCAUCUUGUGUGAACUUGUUAUAACCGUUACUCAGUAAAUGAGUGUCCAGUGAAGUCCUUAGUGCAUUGUCAAGCAUUCAUUCCCUUCUACUAUGCACCCAUUCUUACUUAUCGUGCAUGCAAUAGGUGCACCGGACGCAACCGCAUCGUUCGAGCUCCAGGUGAACCCCGAAGGCCAGGAGGGCAACCCGGAGGUGGAGGUCCAGCAAGUCGGACUCAAGGAGCCCGAAGAAGAGGUUGAGUGCCCUAACCACGAGCCAGCUUCGUUCGUAAAAGGCAAACCUCGGAGCAUUCUAAGUCUCCCUUUAUUUUCGAAUGUUUACUUAAAUAUGUUAUAUCUAUUGAUGCAUUAAGUAUAGGAGUUGUGAUGAAACCUUUGCUGCAUUUUACUCAAUCCUUAUCCAGAUAUUUUACCACUACCUGGUUAUGGAGUUAGGAUCGAGUAGUGAAAGGUCCUUGUUUGGUUUUGGUAAUUGAGUGACAACUUAGGUGGACUAAUAGUGUUUAUGUGAGAUACACAGGAGAUUAGUCCACAGGUGAUGAUGUGAUGAUGGAGGAGCUCAUUGCAUAUGAGACAUGACAUGGAGUCAUGUGAACAAGGUGGAGAAGAUCAAGAUGAGGCUUGGCUUGAUGGACCGGUUGCAAGAGUGAAGGGCAAGUCGGAGGCUUUGAAGCGAGGGACCGCGUGUGACGGUGAAGCUUGAGCAAGACUUGGCGCCGAUGGACCGAGGCAAUGGUGAAGAGCAAGUGAGGUCAAGAUCGAUGAACCAAUACGGUCACGUGGUGAUAUGAAGUGGAUCAUAUCAUUUGGUGAUUGGUUGGUGCAUGUGUUGCAUCAACAUCGGAGGAGAUGGAAUGGAAUGCGCAAGGCAAAGGUAUAACCUAGGGCAUUUCCAUUUCACCGGUCAUAGGUGUGUAGAGAAGUUUAUGACCGGAUUUAGGAUAGAUGGCCGUACUAUCAAGAGGGGCAAACUUGUUUGCAUAUUGGUCAUCUAGUGCCACUUGAGCAAUCUAACUUUGCAUACGUGUUAGGAUCGAGUGGCGUGGCAAGUUGAGAGGCUAACUCCUUUGGGAAAUUGUUUGUGAAAAUGCUAACACACUUGCACAUGGUGGUGUACACUUGUUGGUGUUGGCACACUUUACAAAGGAGGUGGAGUUCCUAGGGUUGAGAGGCGUGUGGGUUCCUCACUUCCUCCCGCCGAGCUUGCGAGGCGGGAUUCGGCGCUUUUGAGAAAAAUAAGUGUAUAUUUUCUUUUGCGCCCGUGGGAAAUUCAGAGAAGUCGCGGGAGUGUUUUCUCUCUGAGAAACACUCACCGGACGCUAAGUGCGGAGGCACCGGACGCUGGCCUCAGCGUCCGGUGUGAUUGACCCUGCUAGGGUUAAGCACCCGAUGCACUCUGAGAGCGUCCGGUGGUUAGCGUCAGGUGUGAGGAGUUUUUGCAACCCUCUGUGCGCACGAGUCCGGUGAGCACCGGACCGUCCGGUGCCCAGCGUCCGUUGAGGUCGCGAGUUUGACACCCUCUCUGCGCACGAGUCCAGUGAGCACCGGACCGUCGGUGUGGACUUGCAGAGCGUCCGGUGGUGCUGUGUAGGCACGCGUGCGCAGUAGCCGUUGGCGGCAACGGUCGUUUUCAAAUGGCUAGUGACACGUGGCCGACGCCUGAGCACCGGACACUGGGAGUUGAGCGUCCGGUGGCUCCCUGUGAGCGUCCGGUGCCCACGUGUUUUGCCCAGUGAAGGGGCAACGGCUAGUUUAGCCCUUGGGGCUAUAAAUAGAAGUGGUGGCCGGCCUUGGCCGGUGCUGAGCACCCUUGGGACUUAGUGUCCAUGCAUGGGGAGUGCUAGUAAAGCCUCUAACUCACAUAUGCUUGAUAGUGAUCAUCCGAUUGUGUGAGUGAGCGAUUCUAGUGCGUUGCAUUGAGAGAUUGCAUCGAGUGGCACUAGGUGUUCGUGUUGCAAGCCGGUGGUGCUUGUUACUCUUGGAGGUUGCCACCUCCUAGACGGCUUGGUGGCUGGUGACUCCGUCGAAGCACGCAAGGAGAUUGUGCGGUGCUCCGGAGAAGAGAUUGUGAGGGGUACGUUGCUCACCCCACGGGGAUCGCGAAGAGCAACUAUAGUUGAGCGAGACGUGAAGAGCGACAAGUGGUCCGGCUGGGUCAAGUGCUAGAGCUUGUGGUAAGCACUCCACGUGGGAGAGUGUGACUUGCGGGUCACCACUAGCAAGAGGACCGGCGGCAACCUUGGAGCUUGUCUCAACGGGGACGUAGCUUGGUGGCAACCAAGUGAACCUCGGGAGAAAAUCAUCGUGUCAACUUUGUUCUUCCCGUUGGUUUGCAAGUCCCUAACACAAGCUUGUAUUUACAUUCGUUUACUUGUGCUUGUGUAGUUGCUCUUGUAAUUAGUUAGCUUGUGUAGCUUGCUAGUUACCUUCUUGCUUGUGUAGCUAGAAGUAGUUCCCUUGCGUGACUAAUUUGGUUUGUGUAACCUUGUUAGUCACUUUGCUUAGUUUGUGUAGCUAAGUAAGUUGCGCUCUCUAAUUUGGCAUUAGUUGCCUUGUUAUUGAGCUUGCUAGUGAGCUUAGGAGCUUUGUGCUUUUGCUUACUAGUUGUGUAGGAGCUCCCCGGUUUGCAAAGUACUAGUUGCAUAGGUUUGUGUGACCUUGCUCCUAGAAUUGAUUAGGUGAGCUCUUGCUAAGGUAGCACCUUGUUUGCUUGUUUAGGAUCUUUUACAAGGUGCUAGAGAACUUAGAUAGAGGGGUGUAGUCUUGGCUAGACCGAUAGUUUUAAUUCCGCAUUUGUUUCGGUUAGCCGGCGUAUUAAUUUUUUAGAAAGGACUAUUCACCCCCCCUCUAGUCCGCCAUCUCGACCCUUCAAGUAGCCGCUUAGCCAUGCUUUAAUCUGUAGAAGUCGGGUGAUUUCUUGUCACCUGCGCGAUAUAGGGUUAUGUCGGAUCACGAUGCACUAUAUGUGCUAUCGUGGAUGGAACCUGAUUAAAUUGACUUAAGCAGGGCGGAGUUUUGCAAAGUUGUAGUAAUUCCGUCUGUGGCAGCUAAGGACCGACCGUUGUACGUCCUCUUGUUAUGUUAAACGCAUUCCUAACACUUAGUUGGCCGGAUAACUCGUUCCGACCGCGAAGCCUAGUAAUAUGACUCAGGCCGGAAGGCCGGCAAGUAUAAAGUGCGCACUACCGGAGGAAGUGCGGUGUGCGGGGGACCAUUGGCGUAAGUCCAAAGGCAGGUGAAUUAAAAUUCCUGACCUCCCUGGCAGAGUGGUAGCCCUGGGAGUGCGGCGCUGAUCGGAACCGCGAUUCCUAAGUCGUACCAAAGGUGACCCAUUGGCUCUCCGACGGGGGAUGCUUGGGUGAGUGCUAGGAAUACCCCUCCAGCUGGAUAGGAAUUCGACUCGAAUCGCCGUCUCUCCCGGUUAGUGAGAACUUGACAGAGCAGCGGCAAACGUAGCAUUCACUAAAGAACUUGGUUCAUGAUAAUGACGAUAGCAAGGAAGAACAUAUGAUGAACUUGAUAUGGUUAUUAUUGCUUGUAAUAAUCAAGUGAAGUGCUUUAGUACAGGUGCUAAUCUAGUGGUAGGCUGAUGAUGAUUAAAUAUGAUGCUCUCACAACAUUGUAGUUAUAAUUUAAGCUUUUGGAAAAUGUUGAGUCAACCAGCUCUACUUGAUAUUAGCCUUGCAUGAUCCUUGGUGUCUUUUAUGUUUUACUAGACGGGUAAGUCUAGAUGAGUACAUUCUCGUACUGAGGGUUUAUUCCCACCUGUUGCAGAUGAUAUCUUUUAUGAUGGCUUCUGCAAGACCUGACUCCAUCCCGCUGGGGAUGAGGACUAACCGUUGGGCAUGGUUCUCUAACAAACUCGUACCUGCUGCUUUUGGAUGGAUGGUGUACGACUCUGGCUAUAACAAGAACUUGUGAACUGAACUUUGGAAAGUGUGUGUAAUAAUUAUUUUGCUUCCGCUACUACAAACAUGGGUUGUAAUAACUAAGUACUCCGAUGUGGUGCCGCUUCGACGGCAAUGAAUGACUAUGUAACACUCGCUGUGUUGUGUUGAACUAUUAUGAUCUUGGUUUGUUGCAGGUUGGUUUGAAGUCCUUUGUGAUUUCAGUUAACUACCGGGAUUAUAUGGGCUCAAGUUUGGAAACUUGAUUGCUUGUCGAUCAUUUCUACACUUGAACUCUUAUAAUUUGGUUGGUUCUGUGACACUGGAUUCACUUGCGCACAAUAAGAAGGUGGUUUCAUUCCAAAAGAUUAGAGAGCUGUUUGAUGGAGUUAAGGCUGAUGCACGAGAACAAGUCAUGAGCCAAGCCAAGAAGUUGUGUACUGAUCUGGAUGAGGUCUUCGAGACACUCUUCGUCGACGUGAAGUAUGGCGUGGUGAAGCCUGAAGAGAAUAAGCACAAGAAGAGCAAGAAGAGCAAGAAGAGCAAGUAGUUGUGUGUGAGUCUCGCAGCACUAAGUGUUAGUGUAGUAUCAAUGUGGUGAUGUCUGGUACUUUGUAGCACAUAAAAUAAGCACUGUUCCCUGUGCUUGUGUCUGGAUCGACUAAGUAUAUGUUAGUGCUUCUAUGCAUGUGUCUAGAACUACUAAGUAUAUCUGUGUUUGGUACUUUGAAUCGACUAAUGGAACCUGUAUGCACAUGUGCUGUCUGGAUCUACUAAGUAUAUGUAUAUGUCAGUGUUAGUAUUUUUUGUUGUUGCUUCUUUCCAUGGGUGAUUCGCUCAAACUGUGAGUGCAUCAAAUUGCACUCAAGGAUCACGCAGUGAGCAUCUAGCAUGCAACUGAAUAGUCAAAACUCAGUUAACCCUCAAUAUAAAUAGGCAACUAACAAUAAUCAGCACAACACACAUUUUAACAUAAGCAUUGUGUGAAUAGUUAAACAAAAAAAUCGUCAUCGGCUUCAUCAUCUGUGGCAACGGCAGGUGCAACAACUCCAUCGUCAAUAUAUUCAUCGACAUCAUCUUCACCGUCAUCACUGAAGUAAUAAUCAGUUGGUUCUGCUACCGAUUGUGCAAUUGCUCUCUGAAUAAUAUAAGUCUCAAUUGCUUCUCCUUCCAUGUCUGUUCGUCGCCAAUUCAUCAACUCCACCUGGUUGCUUCUAACAGUCAUGGCCUCGACCCCAACAAGUAAUGAGUCAACAUCAAUUUCUGCCUCCUCUUCAUCACUAGCUCAUUCCGGCAUCGAGAAAAGGUUUCUUGGUUUGAUUCGAACAAUGCUACACCAAUUUGAUUUCUUUGUGUGAUUCACAUAAAACACUUGCUCUGCUUGUAUCGCCAUAAUGUACGGAUCAUCUGAAUAUGUGAGACAUGCAGUAACAAUAUCUAUAAUUCCGUAUUGAUCCUCGCUGUACCCUGUACCUUUGUUCUUUGAUGGAGCGGGUACAUCGAACCAAUCACACUGAAACAUCAUGACUUCCUUUCCACCUAGAAAUUGUACCGAUAUAAUUUUCUUAAUAACUCCAUACCAGUCCGUAUUACGUUUACUUUCAUCAUCUUGACAAGGACACCACUGUUUUGUGUGAUCAGACUGCUCUCUACCGACACCGUCCAAAAUAGGAAUCCAUUGAUGAAACAUCUAUUGAAUACAUGAGCAAUAUCAUCUCGUCCUUGAGAAAGGUUGUACAACAGCUCAUUUGCAUUUCCUCGCUCAUAUUCUUGUUUGGCCUAUAAUUCCAUUUAAAAAAUAGUAACAUGCUUUCAUUACAUGCAUAAUAUUAUGAAAAAAACAUAUUAUAGUGACUCACUUUGUCCUCGAACGAACCAACAAAUUGCUGCUUGUGUCUUCUCUCAACAUUAUGCGGAUUAUAUUUCUUGAGUACAGCCUUAUGUACACUGCAGUGGGUAAACCAAACAAAAUGCAAGCAAUCAGUAACACAUUUUAUUUUUAAAAAAAUAGCAUGCUGAAAGAAUAAAUUUAACUCACUUAGGCAAAGUAGUGCACUCAUCAGUAUUUGUCAAUAUGUUGUGCCUUAUUCUCAGCAUCUCAGAGUGACUCACUUUCUCGAAACUAUAUCCUUUCUUGCUAUAGUCAGGGUCAGUAAAAACACUCAACCCAACUAGUGGUUCAGGCAUUGUGGUGCUUUUAUUAUGCUCUGGGCGAGUUGGCAUAUCUUUGAAAAACUCAGAACAAAAUGUCAUGCACUCUUUUGUGAUAUAUCCCUCCACAAUUGAGCCUUCAGGAUGUGCUUUGUUCCUCACAUAACCUUUUACCAUAUGUAGAUACCUCUCCAUAUGAUACAUCCAUCUAUAGCAUAUAGGACCACCAAGUGCAACCUCUUCAGCUACAUGAACCGGCAAAUGUACCAUGAUGUCAAAAAAAGUCUGUGGGAAUAUCAUCUCAAGCCGACAUAGAGUCUCCCUAAUCGAAGCACUCAUGUUAGCGAGCUCCUUUCCAUCCAGCUCCUUUGAACAAAGCAAACUGAAGAACAUACUCAAGUCAAUCAAUGGGACAACAACUUCUUCUGGCAGAAUAUUGCGUAGUACUAAUGGUAAAUGUUUAUGGAAUAUAAUAUGAUAAUCAUGAGUUUUCAGACCAGACAGCAGAACGAUUUUCAUCCAUAGAUCUUCGGAUAUUGGACGCAUACCCAUCAGGCAACUUGAGUUCAUGUAGAAAUUUGCAUACAAGUUUCUUGUCAUCUUUGCCUAAUUUGUACAGAGCAGGUGGUAAGGUGAACUUACCAUUCUCACACACUGGAUGCUGAUCCAUCCUUAUCCUGAGAUGAUACAUGUCAAGCCAAGCUUCAUCGUUGUCCUUACUUUUACCUUCUACGUCCAGUAAAGUACCCAAUAUGCUCUCACAUAUAUUUUUGUCAAUAUGCAUCACGUUCAAGUUGUGCCUAAUAAGCAAAUUUUUCCAAUAGGGAAGCUGGAAGAAAAUACUCUUCUUCCUCCAGUUCUGCCAUCUCUUUUCUUCGUCACACUGGUUCCUUUUUUUGGAUUGAGGACCAAAUUUGAUUUGAUCAAAACUUUCAUAGUGUUGCAACACCUGUUCCCCAGUCAGUGGCUCUGGAGACUUCCUAACUUCUGUCUUGUUAUUGAAACUGACCUUGUUUCUACGCUACUUAUGGUCAAAAGGCAAAAAACGAUGAUGCCCCAUGUAGCAAUGCAUCUUCCCAUGCUUUAACCACAAGUAAUCUGUUUCUGUAUGGCAGUAUGGACAUGCAAAAUUACACUUCGUACUCUAUCUAGAAAGCAUUGCAUAGGCUGGAAAGUCAUUAAUUGUCCAUAAAAGAAUUGCAUGCAAAUCAAAAUUCUAACUCUCCUUUGCAUCCCAAGUUUUGACACCCUCUUCCCAAAGAACUUUGAGCUCAUCAAUUACAGGCUGCAUGUAUACAUCAAUGUUAACACCAGGCGAUCUCGCUCCUAGUAUCAUCAUAGACAGCAUCCAAUGCGACUGUUUCAGACACAGCCAUGGAGGUAGAUUAUAAGGAAUUAAAAUCACAGGCCAACAAUUGUAUGACACAUUCAACAUACCAAAUGGAUUGAAUCCAUCAGAUGCUAGACCAAGCCUGACAUUACAAGGAUCCUGAGCAAACCAUUCAUAGGUUGCAUCCACACGCUUCCAUGCUUUGGAGUUCGCAGGGUGUCGCAUUUUUCCAUCAUCCACCAAUUCUUCAUUAUGCCACCGCAUAUAUGAUGCUCUAGUCUCUGACAUAUAUAUAUCCUUUGGAGUCGUGUAAUCAGCGGGAAGUACCGUAGAAUUUUACGUGGAACAUGCCUCUCUAAGCCACAACCACUGCCACCAUCCUGUUCCUUUUUACACUCCUUUCACCUUGUCUCACCACAUUUAGGGCAAUUAUCUAGGCCCUCAUAUUCUUUCCCUCUGAAUAACACACACUCAUUGUAUCAUGCAUCUGUCUUUUCAUAAUUUAGACCAAGGUCUCUAACAACCUUUUUUAUCUUCUCGAUACUAUCUAGGAGGUAGUGCCCUUUAGGAAGAACAAGCAAGAAUAGCUCAAGCAUAUACUCCAUGCAAGCAUUACUACAACCAAACAUGCACUUCAUCUGAAACAUUUUGACAAUGAAAGACACCUGUGUAGCUUCCGUGCAGCCUGGAAACAACUCCUUCCUAAACUCUUGUAGCAAUUUAAAGAACUUCGUAGCCAUCUCAUUUGGCUGUUCAUCAUCGAUUUCUCCACGGAUAGUACCCCUGAUCAAUGAAUGUAUCAAGUUGUAGGUAGCAGCCCUAUCAUCAACACCAUCAUCCAUAUCAAUAUCUGAACCUUCACAUACACUUUCCUGCUCUCGGAUGAAGCUUUCAUCAAAACCUUUCUGAAGUAGAUGCUUCUGGACAUCCGACUGCUUUCUAAAUGACAUGGAAUGACAUGCUGAACAUGGACAUGGUGCCGUUCCACCUUUCGAGCUGCCAGCAAAGGUGCUAUCAAGAUACUCUGAUAAUCCUUGUUGCCAUUCUCCAGAUGCCCUAUGUAGCCGCAUCCAACUACUGCCAUGGUGUGACAUCAGUUCAAAACCUGACAAACACACAUGAAGAUAAAUAAGAACCAGCUACGGAUUUGAAACAUACGCAAAUUAAAUAGCAAUGUGACUGAUUGUAACAUCCUACUUCUACCAAUUAAUUUGGUCAUGGAAAUAAAAAAUUAGGGCGUCACUUUAUUUCAAUACGCAGCAAGAACUCCAAGCUACUAAUUGCAAACAACUAAUUAAUAUAUACACAAAAAUACAUGAAUUAAAAAUUUAUGACAGUAGCAUUGGACGUACUAGCAUAUGCAUACACAAAACAAAAAAGCGUGUCUUUCAUACAUGAUGCUGAACCAGGUCAGGAAAAGAAGAAUUUCAUGGACAUGUUGACCAGCGGCGUGUUGAACAUGGAUAGAUAAAAAAAGAAAAUACUUAAUGUGUGCGUCUACCUUCUGUCAAUGUCCGACGUCCUUCAGUUAUCAAGUGUCGCGGUUCGUCACCUCGUCGGCAGGCAGGUCCUAUGAAUCUAGUGAUCUGGAGCGGAGUUAGAAUAACAGGUCCUAAACAACUGAGGCCAAGAACAUAGAUUUAGGGGCAACAAUCAUGGGAUUCCGAUGCAUAGACAAACACAAUAAUCAUGGGAUUUAGGGGCCAUAUCUUACCUCCUUCACUCGGUAGGAACACCCAGGCCAUGAACGGGGACUAGGCUUCGCUGGUUCUGCUCGCGACCACGCGGUGCCGAUGCACAGCAGGGGAAGAUGGGAGUUGCGGUAGCACGACAAAAGAUCAAACAAGCCAGUUACGUCGAUCUGACUGGGGAUGUCGGCGGUAGGUUUCACGAGAGCCCUGAUCACGACUAUAUCCACGGACGGGUGUGUCUAGGCCUCCUGAGGCGAUACGAACAUGCACAGAAGGAGAUUAGUAUUAGGUAAAGGAAUUUAGUCAAAAAACGGUUGCAUAAUAGUAUAAAACAAUGAAAAUACAUAUUCAUCCAUUAAUGUACAACUUGCCUAGCGGUUAGGCCAUGAGCUCCUCAACCAAAUAGGCGCCCGGUUCAAGUCCUUGCCCUUUGCAGUUUUUUUGUUUUUUUAAUAGUUAACAAUUUCACAUAAUAUUUUACUUUGAUCUCAAUUUAACUUAUUAUUACAUACUCGCAUGCAUAAGUUUCCCCUACCAGUUUCUUUUCUAGAAUUAACAAUUCUUUUAUUAUUACCUUGUCAAUAUGUUAUUUUACCUAGUCCCUAGGUGACCUUGCAUCAAACACAAAUAUGAUGCAAUAGUACUUUGUUUAAGGCAUCAUGUUUGAAUCCUUCUCUAACCAUGUCAAAUAAUGGUCACAAGUUUAAAUCUGCUAUAGUUUCCAGCACAUCGAUUUCUAGGUCUUGGAUUGCAGUUCAUCACGUUGGCAUUCCGCGUUCUCCAAAUUCUACUCAAUAACUUGGUUGGUUCCCAAAAUAUAAGUUAGAUUAUAUAUUGUGGACAAGAGUAUACAAAAAGAUGGCACAUGUUGAACUUCAUUUUAGCCAUCAAUUUUGAGUUUUGCUAAUCAUUAUCAAGUCAUUGACACUCGUGGGUUGGCAUCAAAUUAUCUGGUAAUCUAUAACUCUAAUGGUUAUGAUCCUUAAACCAAACAUGUAGAGCAGCCAGAGAUUAGCAAGUCUUCUUUAAGGCCCAUGACCUAGUUCGGAGCAGAUGAAGCCCAAAAAUGUGUUACAACCGGCCCACUAUAUCACCUCCCAACUGUUCGAUAGAAUGUCCCAACGAAAGACCCGCGGUCUGUGUGUGGCGACCAUGCAGCAGGGCACUCCCACCAUGGCUGCCACCUCCACCUUGCCUUUUUCCUCUGUCUGUGCCAUAGUCGAGGAGCACCAGAGCAGCCUCCCUGUCCCCCUGCACUCCCCUGCGCUCUCCAUUCUCCCUCUCGCUCAGCUCUCUGCUUCUGUCUUCCAUGGACAGCCAAGCAAGCCGCCAUUCGCUCUUCCAUCCUGCCAUAGCUCGGCCAAAGGCCAAGCACCGUCAGCGUACUAACCACCAUAUCCUCCGCGUAGACGCUGCUCGCAGCCCAUGCAGCGCCCUUCAUCGACAACGCCAUCACCGUCGCAAUCUGUGACACCGGAGGGGCCGCAGCCCCAUCCUGCCGUCUCUGCAAAAUCACUGGCCGGGCUGGAACAUACUGGAGCCGUGCCCAACAGCAUGCAAGCUGCAUCACCCCUCCCUAGUUGCCACCACCGCCGAUUCCGGCCAACACCAACCGGCACUGUUCCACGUCCCGUCGAGCAGAGGAUGAAGAAGAGCCUCGGGUUCAAAUUAGAAGAAAGUCAGGGUUCCAUAUGCGAAUUGAAGACCCAUAUGAAUAGUAUCCUUCGGACCUGUUUGUUUGACUUGAUUUAAGUUUCUUUCAGGGUCCCCGAUGCAAAGUUGUUUUCCUUUAUGCAGUUUUCUGGAUGAACUUUGAUAAUGCAUAGUAAAUUGUAAAAAAAUCCUAAAAUAGCAAAUGAGUACUUUUUGGAAUCCUUAUUAAACUCUCUAUCCAGUAGAUCUAUAACCUUUCAUGUUUUAGUUCGAAGUUUUAGCUGUAAAAAUAGAUUUAUGCAGCUAGGUUUUUAAUGCUAGUUAAGUUUGUCUUUUUCAUAACUACUGCUGUAGAGCUCCAAAUAAAGUGAAAUUUUUGUGGCAUGCUACCCAUGUGAUGUUUAAUAUAAGGUAAAAUGUUCAUAAGUUUUGGUUGCAGUAUGAUUGAGUUAUUAAUUUAACUUGCAUAGGGCUUGAUAAAUGGUUUAUAAUUAUAAAUAAAAAUGUACAAAUGGAAAAUGUUGUUCCAGUACAAUUCUAUGAUAUUGUUGUAUCAUGUUAAUAUAUAAUAUGGUCAUGUGUUUGAAUAAAAUAUGAUUUGUGCAUUUAUCUUGCUCUCACAUGGUUAAUUGCAAUAGCAAUUUGUCUUUUUUAUAGAUGUUGCUAUGUUUAUUCAAAUGCAAUGAAAUUUGGGCAGUAGACUAUGGAUAGAAUGUAGAAGCUACUGUGAUUUUCGUGGAAUUUACUGAGCAAUUUUGGUAUGUGUUGUUUAAUUCACCUUAUUAUUCAAAAAAAUUAAGAAAGGCAUCAAAUAAAUUUAUUUGGUAAUAACCACUAUGUUUUCUGGUGUUCUUUCGAUAUGUGCAAACUGUUGGUAAUAAUGGUUUUGCUCAAAUGCAUGUUUGAAACAUAAGUUAAUAAUUAUAUUUUUGCAAUUGUUGUUUCUGGACAGUUUCUGGAACUGUUUGGAUUACAAUAUGUAAGGAAUAUUGUUUAUAGCAAAGUUAGAGAUAAUUCAUCUCUCUAGCUGCUGUUAAAAUUUGGUGGCAUUUAGUCUAGCGGUUUGUGAGUUAUGUCUCUUCCAAGUUUGAUUCCAGAAAUGGCUGCUCCCUAUUUGUCAGGGACAGAUUCUGGAACUUUAUAAUUUCAACCAGCUUAAGUUGAGAAUCAUGCUUUGAUGUCUAACUAUCAAAUGUAUCUAAUUUCUUAAUCUUUCAGAAUAUCUUAAUUCGUAUCCUUUGGAGUUGUGUAACUCCAGUUAUGAUUUAUUUACUCAGCUGCUGUUAACAUUCUUAAAAAUGCCAGAUUCAUUUUAUUGCUAUUGCUUGGUAGUUUGCUAUGUGUGACUCAUGCCUUUGAUAAUGGCCAAGUUAAUAUACCUGAGCUCUUUCUAAAACAUGUAAGCCAUGUCGAAUAUGGCUAGUGUUGUAUUAUUUGUUAUCUUAGUAUGUUGGUUGUGUAAUCUUUAAUUGAGCAAUGAGAAGUGCUUAAGUAUGUUUAGUGGAACCAUGCUCGUGCCUUGCUUCGUGUGUGUGAUACUUUGUCUAUUGCACUUCUAUGUGUUCAUACACUUGCAUCUUGCAUCUCAUUUAGGUACGCUAGAUGAACCAUGUGAAGGACAUGAUGGUGGACCUAUCUAGAUGAUGGAAGGACUACAUAAGUGUUGUGGCCUUAGAUGUCAUCAAGACAAAGCAAGCUAACUUAACUGAUUUCUGUCGGAUUCUAGGCAAGACCCAGAGCAUUCUAAGUUUCCUACCCUUCCUUUUUAUAAAAGCACAAGAGUAUCACUUUAUAUGAUGCAUUAGGUUAUAGGAGUUGGAUGAAACCAUUGGUGCAUUUUCCUACCUUGUUCACUAUAUAAAACUACCUGAACCCUUACUAGUAGAAGGAAGACGUUCUAUGCUUAGCUAUGCUUAGAUCGGUAGAAGCCAGGUGAUUUCCUAUCACCUACGAGAUAUAGGUGGAUGUUGAUAUUUGGUAACGCAAUUAGAAAAUGAUCCGCAAGCGCACAGAUAUCGGUGAGCAUUUCACCCGGGAGGUUAUCCAGAGUUAUCGUAUUUAUAUUUUAUCACUGGGAGAAAGGGUGCAUCUGACUAACCAAAUCUAUUGCUAGUAUCCCUUUAGGCUACAAAGAAUGUCUCUCGAUGUGAGUGAUGUAUAGAGAAGACUGCAACCGUAGUCUCGUUCUAACCUUGGUAAGGAUGAUCUACUGUUCUAUUGGGGAGGCUCACGGAAUCUAGACAACAGAAAGGAUGUUCAACCCACACCUAUAAACCUACCCGUCCUGCUAACGAGAUGUGAUCUACAAAGGUAACUUGGAAAUGUCACUUUCCUCGCUACUACCACGGUCCAGCUAGUCAGGGGAUAUCUAUGAGUACCCUAGCCUAAACACCACGUUUACGCUAACAAGUGAUUACUCUAAUACUCAACCGGAAGAGGAUUAAAGUAAACUCAUAAACCAAAGAACAAUAAAACAAGAACUUACUAGUAUUAGAAGUCGAAUUACUGAAGAAUCUUAGAAGCAAGCCUCGGGUUAGGAGACUUGAUCCCGUAGGUACAACUCGGAGUAGACACCGACAGGCCGGCCUUCCUCCGAUCCACACCUCCACUCUAUCUCUCUCAAUUUAGUAGAAACUAGAAGAUCUAUUUCUAAUUUACAUUGGUUGCUAAGCCUAAAAAGAAAUAUUAUUUAGAGAAGAGGUUUUCCUUCGAGGGCACCCCUCAAUCUCUAUGAUAAUUUCUUGUCUCCUCCAGGGGCCAGAGGGGGUCUCCUUAUAUAGUCCUCCCCUUCUAUGCGUUUUUAUGUCGAUAGGCGAGGUGGUACUAUGUUAUUCUGGAUCCAAUAGGUCGGUGGAACGUCGUGUGCGAAGAGAGUCCGGAACGGGGUCCAGAGGUGGGCGGGCGCCAAGGUCCUUAGGGCGGGCGCCCUGGGCCUGGCCCCUUUCGGGCUCUGCUUCCUUCCCGUGCCUUCUGGAGUCUUCUAGAUGGUAGAAAAUUGCGCGGUGGGUUGAUAUCUCUAUGUAAUCCCGACAUGUGGGCCUUUCUUCCUUAUUUCCUGAUAACCCCCUGCAGAAAUAGAUAAACACCAAAACUCGUGGAAUUCUGUCACAUAAAACCCUAAGUCUAGAUGUUGAUUUCAUUUGGAUCCUUUUCUUUGUUUAUUUGAUAAUUAAAUUUGAUACUUAAGGACCGUCAACAAACUCCCCCAAGCUUACCUCUUGCUCGUCCCUGAGCAAGGAUGAACUCAAGAGUUUCUGCAGUGGUUUCAUUUCUUAGAAGUACACACGCAUUUAAGCAAGAUCUCAUCUCUGAGUUAGAAUAAACUGUUAAGACUUAAAACUUACUUACUUUACCUACACCAUAGGACUUGUAACCGUCACUUCUGUCUUGAGUGGUUAAAAGAUAGAACAGUCUAGCCAAGUGCCAUGUCUCUUAUUCUUGAUCAGCUAUAGCUCUGGGGUUUUUGCAGAUUUUCAAAUAAAACUCAGAAAUUCCUUGUAUGAUUCUCUCAGGUCUCUCUUUUGUGGUAUUUUUGGAUCCUUACCAAGGCAGUGAUGGUAUAUGCCUUCUCUCAAGAUAUGUAGUAUUUGUGGUAUGAAGCAUAGUGACAUUGUCUUCUCUCUCACCCUACUCUAAUAAGGCUUUAAUAUCUGGAGCUCAUAGGUGGGAGAUAAAGUAUACAUACUUACAAGACAUUUAUUGCAUAGUCAAACCAUGGAUCCAAAGAAACAAAUCAAUAAGCCAAAUCAAGAUGUGCAUGUGUGGCGAAUGAAUGGUGUAUGGUGAUGAUGGUGAUAACAAUGGUGAAAGUCUAAUUCUACUUUUGCUCUUUUGAGGGGAUACAUACCUUUCUUGCACUUUGAAGCUUUUUGAGGAUAAUGAGAUGCUCUAUAUUUUCUUUUUCUUUCCUCUCAGGUGGGUAUCUUGUACCCCUAAUUCUACUGUCGGACACUUGUCCAUUUUUACCUUUCGUCUCACUUUUUUUCUUUUUCUUCGAGGUUCCGGGCACUUGCCCCUUUUUAUUUCCUCGUAUUCAUUUUUUUUCUCUCUCUCUCUUUUUUUUAGAGCACUCAUCUCCUGAAAUAAUGUAGCAAGUGGUAGUAACCAAAAUAACUGGAGCAUUUAUUUCACAGGGAAUAACAGGGAUAGCAAAAUGUUUUUGGCUAUUCUCUCCCGGAUUAGGAGUAGAAUACUUUUGGGUGGUUUUGGAGAUGGAAAUGAAUGGAUAGUACUUCCGGAGUAGAAGUAGCAUGUAUGAGUGAACGUGCAAGUGAAUCUUGAUUUAACCACAUGACAAGCUCCUAAGGGUCUACACAGCUUGACCACACUCAAUGCUCAUAAGCAGUAAAUAGUAAAUGUGUGGCUCAAGGUCUAGCAAGCAUGUAUAUAUGGCUGUGGUAGAAAUUUAAACUCUCAUCAUACAGGAACUCAUCAUGCAACAUUUUAAAGAUUUUCAAAGAUAAAAUUCUCCAGAAUUCUAGCAUCUCUAGGAACAGAUAAACAGCAGCUCAACCUUCCCAUAUCGUAUCUGUUAACAACUUAGACUUCAGAUUAAGUUUUCAUCCCACAAGUUUAGGUCUAGAGCAAGCCUUAAAUUAUAACAGUUAUAUCUAAACUUGAGAGAGAACUUCAAAUUUGCAAAUUAGGCAGAGCAACUAUUCAUCAUAUCCAUGCUUAAGUUUUAUUAGAUACAGAUUAGCAUAGCCACUUUAUUUAUUUAUUAAACACACUAAGCAAAAUAUAUAUAAGCAUAAAAUCUUUAUUUGGUUUUUCAUAGUUAUGUGUAUUUAUAUUCUAAUAUAGUAUAAGUAUAAAGAUAGAUAGAAAUACUUAUCGAGAUAAAUGGGGGUGCUCUCCCCCAAGCUGAAUUUUGACGUAAUUUCUCUUGAUGUAGCUAGCAGGUGGCAGAGGUGUGUUUGAAAGUCAGCAGUAUUUUGACAGUGAUUAGAAUGUCCUCCGUCUGCUAGUCUUCUUGAUUCUUAAAUUCUGUGGAGCUUAAAUAGACAACAAAGCUUGUGGAACUGAUUAAGUGUUAUCAUAAAUAUCUAGCCUUUAUCAUGUUGAGACUUCUUAAUAAAUAUUACUCCCUGUUUUUAUAUUUUUGUUUUUAUAAAGCAGAAAAAUAUUUAUUUUAUUUUUAUGCCACCACAGUGAAUGUACUUAUGGGUUUUAUGCCACUCGUCUACUCACAUGGGGCUUACAGUUUUUUUCACAUUUUUAUUUUCUUUCUAGGAUAAUACGAACAUGAUUAACUAAGUAAACUAUUUGAAAUAAUUAAAAGGGAAAGGAUAACUACCAAGUUUACCUCUUGGCAAGGCGUUCGGUGUUUUUAAGUCCUCCGAACGGGACUCUCCGUUUUCUCAGUCGUCCUAGGAUUCGCUGGAUGACGUAGUCGGUGAUUCCGGUGGCGCCUCCUUUUCGUGUAUAACUAUCUUCUCUUUCUGACUCGGUGCUACGGUCUCCUCAGGACAUUUCUAUUCAAGCUGUAUGUCUUCAGACCUUAUCAUUUCUCCUCCGUAGUCUACCCAUCCGUCCUUGAUGAUUUGCCUCCUCUGGUUGCGGUUGCGUUGUCUUCUUCUUGUCCUGACCUGCUUAGAAUCUUCAACUAUAUAAUCAUUAAAGUAGUGGCGUACCUUUCUCAGAGGGGAAGUGCAUGUGGACUUCUCCGGUUCCAAUAUAGAUAAUGGCUUUGAUAGUGUUUAGGAACGGUCUUCCAAGGAUGGUGGAUGGAUCAUACUUGUCUUCUCCCAUGUCAAUGACCUGAAAGUUGUUUGAAGCUGAAUGUAUCUUGGUUGUAGGGGCAUGGUUCUAUGCAGGAGCUGAUAAGUGACUGCGGCCAUUAUGUUGUCGUCAGAUCCGGUGUCGUAGAGUGUCUUCUAAAAAGAGUAUCCAUUGUUUGUGCAUUCGAUUCUUGGAACACCAGGGUCGUUCUUCUUAAUCAAGAAAGGUGACUUGAGUCGACGAUCUUGACCUCCUUGAGCUGCAGUGACCAUCUUAGCUGACUCGGUCCACAUUUGCUUGUUCCUUUUCCUCCUGUUGGUCCUCUUCCUUGGUUCAUGUCAGGAUUGCUCUAAAGCUUGUGUAGUUUUGUUCUUGAAGGAAACUCUCCUUCUUCCCCUUGAUGUAGAGACUGAUCUUGGCAGCAUUAACGUAGAUGACUGCUCUGGUGUUUAGGAAUGGCCUCCCUAAGAUGAUGGGUGCUCUCUCCUCACUACCAGUCUCUAUCACCACGAAGUUUGCUGGAGUGUACAAGGUACCAACUCGGACACAGAGGUUCUUCAAUAUUCCUUUGGGAAACUAAGUGUCUGAUCUCCAUUGUGUUUGUGCUCGUAGGAAUCUGGGAGUUGUAAAACGCCUUCACGUUUCUCAAAAUGUGUCCUGCUCAUAGAGACAAGGCAGAGAUCAAGUGCAUGGGCCCUGUUGGUGGAAAACACCAACAGAACCAAAAGUGUAUUUGUUCUUCUCUAACCUUAAGCAUAGUGAGCAAGACAAAGUUGAUGGAUCAUGAGUGUAGCAUUUAAAACAUUUGUUAGAUCAGAUGGCUCAACCUAAUGGAAAGAUAAUCUAUCUAUAUUUAUGUUUUGUUUAUAUCUUCCAAAGAUUCAAUGUGCAAUACUUUAGCUUAUAUGAUUAGGAGUGUGGGAUCACGAAGGUAGUACUAAGAACAAAGAUUAAAGGACUAAACAUGUUGAAUUAAUUGGGUUGAUUAAUUUGGAGCUACAAAUCAUACAUGUUUGUCUCUUUAUUUUAUGUGAACGCUAGAACCAAGGAGAAGCUUAUAAAAGUGAUAGUCAAGUACCUUAAAAUGUUACCUUACUUGAAGAGUGACGGUACAGUAUCACCUUGUGGAAGCUUUCCUUUCUUAGCGGUUGUGCAUCAUGUUUGUGGCACCCUCCAUAGAUCAUCUCUUUAUGAUGAAUGAGCUAUGUCCUUCUUGUGCAAAUUGUUAAACUUCAUGUGUCUCCUUUAUCUCCAAUGAGUUUGUAUCUCAGGACUUCCCAGGUUGAUAUUGAAAGUUUUCCUGCAAGGGUUAGUCCAACAAAAUAUCCCAUAUCUACUAUAGCAUACUAUCGGCUCAAAAAUCAACCUAGACACCAUGUCUAAUUUGAUUUAGGAGGGCAUUUUAACCUAAGCACCAUGCUUAAUUUAAAAAUCCUUUGGAAGUAAAAUCAUCAUUCCUAAACUAAGCACCAUGCUUGAUUUAAGAGAUAAAUGAAACUACUCCAAACCUAGACAUAUACUAAAGCAAAAAAAGGUAGCAUGAGAGCACUUAUAGAGAUCUACUCAAGUGGAGGUGAAGUAGUGUAAUUAGUAUUUAACAAAUUGAGCAUGUCUCAAAGGUAAAGACAACCAACAUAGCAACAUGGCAAAUGAUGUUUUUAUGUAAAGUACUCCCCCAAGCUUGAAUUUUGCAAAAUUCAAGAUUGGAUGAAUUUAAUUCAAUGUUGCAUGAUGAUUGGUUGGACAUACCUUGUGCUUGUCAUUCAUCCGAUCUUCUUGCUCCAAUCCUGGAAAGGUUAGUGACAAGAAUACCCGAAGGAAUAUUUCUACAAUUAUCUCAAUAUGCUCAAUACACAAGGCAAUGUUGCAAAUAAUUAGAAGUUCAUGUUACGAUAUGAUAAGUGCUUGUUUAAGGACGCUAAGCUUAUCCUUGGGAAACCAUCAAGUUAUGUUGGUGAAGUGGUUUCCCCUCCAACACUAACCUAUAUCAAGAUCAACUCAACGAGAUCUGCAAUAUUUAUUAUAGACAUAUGCAUCGACAACCGCUCUUUUAAAGUUGUUAUAAAUAGAAAGGAAGAGAGGGUUGGAGAUCUCAAAUGUGGUAAGGAUGGAGAGACCAAUUGAUUGGGGAGAUGUUUUAUAUGAGCAAGGACUUCGUAAGGUAUUUAUGAAAUAACUUCCAUGCUCACUGUUGUUUCUCUCAUUCUCAAACUCCAAGGAUGAUUCUUCAUGAAUACUUAAAAUUCCUCUAGGAUUGUCUCUCAAGUUUGUUUUAUCUAUCCAUUCAAUGGUGAUAGCACAUGGAUUUUUAAUGCCCUCUAGCCAUUGAUGUUGCUCUUCUCGAUCCUCCUUCUUAUGCAUGGGAUGUCUAGAGAGAUUGAUAUGAUUAUCGGGAGGUUUAAGAGAAAGAGCAUAGUAGAAUUUAUUAAGCUCAAGGAAGGUGUGGAUAGCCGAAUUAUGGGUUUGAAAUGUUUGGAAAUCGGCUAUUGAAACUUCCUUUCCUCGUCUGGGAGAUGAUUCCUUCUCUAUCUCUAAGAUUUUUCUAUGAAGACUAGUACAAGAAGGAUGCCCACGAAUGAAGACAUACCUUCCUUUACUAAUAGAUAAAGAAAGAAGGACUCUACCAAAGGUUAUAUGAUUAAGACCAAUGUGAAAAUAUCGAGAAAAAACAUGGUCUUGUAGGGCUAGGUCUAAACCAGAAUUUAUAGAAAGAUUAAAAGAUUCCCUAGGUGUAGCUAAAAGUGCAUUAUCUUCUUGAUUAAAAGAUAGGACCUCGGCUAUAGAAAAGGGUUGGUUUUGACCUAUUGCAAUCAACUCCGGACACAGAUCAUAAUUAUGGGCAGGACGUGUUGACUCCCAUGGUCUAUGGCUGGUCUCCGAAGGUGCAAAGAAUUUAAUAAUAGGUAUGGAAUUUGAGUUAUCCAUAAAGAUAAAAAUAAAAAGAUAAAAGAAUAAAAGUAUAAAAGUAUAAUACAAGAUAAUAGCAAAACUCAAAGUUAUCUCAGCAAACCGUCUUUCUCCCCGGCAACGGCGCCAGAAAUGCUUGUUGAUAUUUGGUAACGCAAUUAGAAAAUGAUCCGCAAGUGCACGGAUAUCCGUGAGCAUUUCACCCGGGAGGUUAUCCAGAGUUAUCGUAUUUAUAUUUUUACCACUGGGAGAAAGGGUGCAUCUGACUAACCAAAUCUAUUGCUACUAUCCCUUUAGGCUACAAAGAAUGUCUCUCGAUGUGAGUGAUGUAUAGAGAAGACUGCAACCGUAGUCUCGUUCUAACCUUGGUAAGGAUGAUCUACUGUUCUAUUGGGGAGGCUCACGGAAUCUAGACAACACAAAGGAUGUUCAACCCGCACCUAUAAACCUACCCGUCCUGCUAACGAGAUGUGAUCUACAAAGGUAACUCGGAAAUGUCACGUUCCUCGCUACUACCACAGUCCAGCUAGUCAGGGGAUAUCUAUGAGUACCCUAGCCUAAACACCACGUUUACGCUAACAAGUGAUUACUCUAGUACUCAACCGGAAGAGGAUUAAAGUAAACUCAUAAACCAAAGAACAAUAAAAAAAGAACUUACUAGUAUUAGAAGUCGAAUUACUGAAGAAUCUUAGAAGCAAGCCUCGUGUUAGGAGACUUGAUCCCGUAGGUACAACUCGGAGUAGACACCGACAGGCCGGCCUUCCUCCGAUCCACACCUCCACUCUAUCUCUCUCAAUCUAGUAGAAACUAGAAGAUCUAUUUCUACUUUACAUUGGUUGCUAAGCCUAAAAAGAAAUAUUAUUUAGAGAAGAGGUUUUCCUUCGAGGGCACCCCUCAAUCUCUAUGAUAAUUUCUUGUCUCCUCCAGGGGCCAGAGGGGGUCUCCUUAUAUAGUCCUCCCCUUCUAUGCGUUUUUGGGUCGAUAGGCGAGGUGGUACUAUGUUAUUCUGGAUCCAAUAGGUCGGUGGAACGUCGUGUGCGAAGAGAGUCCGGAACGGGGUCCAAAGGUGGGCGGGCGCCCAGGUCCUUAGGGCGGGCGCCCUGGGCCUGGCCCCUUUCGAGCUCCGCUUCCUUCCCGUGGCUUCUGGAGUCUUCUAGAUGGUAGAAAAUUGCGCGGUGGGUUGAUAUCUCUAUGUAAUCCUGACAUGUGGGCCUUUCUUCCUUAUUUCCUGAUAACCCCCUGCAGAAAUAGACAAACACCAAAACUCGUGGAAUUCUGUCAGAUAAAACCCUAAGUCUAGAUGUUGAUUUCAUUUGGAUCCUUUUCUUUGUUUAUUUGAUAAUUAAAUUUGAUACUUAAGGACCGUCAACAGUGGAUACCUAAUCACGGUUGGCUAUAUUUGCUAUCGUGGAAAUAACCAUAUGUUAAGAAUGAAUGAAGACCGGGCGGGAUGACGAUAGUGAAACAACAAGGCAUGGAGGUCUUGGGUGUGAAUCUAUCCCCGUCUGUGUCGUUUAAGGACCGAUACACUGUACGUCCUCUUGUCAUGUUGAACGCAUGCCUGACACUUAGUUGGCCGGAUAAUUCAUUCCGACUGUGAAGCCUAUGUGUCAACUCAGGCUAGAUACCCUAUUCUGUUUGAGUGCGCACCCCAGUUGGUAGUAAGGAUGUGCGGAGAGUCAAUGGUGUAAGACCACAGUGUCAGGUUAGAGUCCUGACCCUGACAGAUUGUCAUCCUAAGGGGUGCGGCACUGAUCAGACCCGUGACUUAGUCCUGAGUUGUGCUAAAGGUGACCUAAAGCUGCCUUCACGAGGUAUGCUUGGGUGAGUGCUAGGAAUAUCCCUCCAGUUGGAUAGGAAUCGAUUCGAAUCGCCAUCUCUCCCAGAUAGUGAGAACCUGACUUGAGUAGCGGCAAUGUAGAUACACUAAAUGAAACAUAAUGGUUAUGAUGAUUAUGAUGGCUACAUGAUAAACCAGAUAUGGUUAUUAAUGUGAUGCUUAUUAAUCAAGUGAUUGCUAUAGAAUAGGUGCAAAAUCUAGCUAUGGUAGUUUAACUGAACUUGAUGCUAAAAUACUGACUAAAAGAUUGAAAGUAAGGACUCAUGAUAGUAAUGCUCCUUUUGGCAAAGUUAUGCUAUCCAACCAACUCCACCAAAUAAGCCUUGCAUAUCCUUGAGAGUCUUUUAUUUCUCUCAUGUUGGGUAUGUCUAGCUGAGUACAUUUGAGUACUCAGGUUUUAUCCCACCAUGUUGCAGGUGAUGUUUUCAGUCUGCUAAAGAUGGUCGCUAACCGCCGGUGGGCUCGGUGAAUCUAUAUAGUGUUCUCAUCUACAUGGUUUGGUCAUUGGAUGUCACUUAUGCUAGCAAUGUAUUUGAAACUUAUGUUAUUGCAAUCAUUUGAAAGCUAUGUUGUUUUCUAAUCGAUUUGGAAAUCCAAACUUGUAUUAUUAUUUGUGAACUCUUUUGUAAUAUUAUUUCCGCUACAAAUCUCCGUGUAUUUGUUGUGUAUUUGUUUAAUCAUGCGAUCUUGGUGUAACAUUGAUUUAACGAGGUCCUUCGUGACACUCGGCAGACUACCGAGUUUAUAUAAGUGAGAAUAUGUGCGUGUCAACGUGUUAAACGGGGACAGACGUACUUAAAUUUGUAUAAAUUGGGUGAUUCUGUCAUGAUGGGUAUACCCCAAGGUAGACUGCCGACUAGCUUUCGUCGACACGAAGCGAUUCACCGCCGCCUUUCUCCAUUUACAUCUUAAGACCUUCCUUAUUAAUAAAAAGUAAAUCUUUUGAUUUUCUUCCCAUCCUUCAUCAUUUUACUUCCAAAAAUACUUUUCCAUAUCCCUAUAUAAGCAACCCAUGCCCAUGGUCUCAUCUCAUCCCAUCAUAGCUCUUCUCUACCCUUGCUUAAGAGCUAGCAACGCAUUUUUACUCAGCAAUGGCUAAGAAGAAUUUAGGGAGGAGAAUGAUCCCCUUUGGGAUUGACCUCAACACCAUCCCUAGAGAGGAGCCUAAGAGCAAAUCUAUCAUUCACACAGAGGAGCCUGUCCCGCUAGCCAUCGUACCACCACAACCACACUGCUAUGGAUAAUCUUAUUUUGCUUAGCCCAUUUGCACCAAGCCUCUCCUCUUUGAAGGAGCUCCACCGAAGGGCCCCAUUGUUGCUCUAGCGGCAGGGACCAACCUCCUGCCACCGAAGCGCAACGAGAAGCUGUUGGGAGCGAAGACCAACAAGAAGGGGGAGGUCAUCUGCGCCAAAUACACCACUGGUGAAUGUACCUAUUUUGAGGGGGAUCGCUCUCAUCCGUCGAAGGUCAAAUUCAUCCCCCCAAAGGAAGCUCCAUAGUCCGCCAUGGCCACAGCAGAGACUCCACGGAAGCGUUGCAAGAUGAUGGUAGACCUAGAGAAGGAGCUAGCUGAGCAGCGCACCAUAAUAGCCUCUCUAGAAGCCUAUCAACGUGUCCAAAGUAGAUGCAUGGUGAUACUAGAAUGGUAAGGCUAGAGCAUGAUUCCACCGCUAUUCAGGAGAAAGUGAAGGCUUUAGAAAACCCUAAGAAGUAGGGUCUAUUUAUGUUAGCAUCCGAUACGGUGAGUGUUUAGGCCUUGUUUAGUUCCGAAAAGAUUUCGGAUUUCGGUACUGUAGCACUUUCGUUUGUUUGUGACAAAUAUUAUCCAAUUAUGGACUAACUAGGAUCAAAAGAUUCGUCUCGCGAUUUCCAGCUAAACUGUGUAAUUAGUUUUUGCUUUCGUCUAUAUUUAAUGCUUCAUGCAUGUGCCGCAAGAUUCGAUGUUAUGGGGAAUCUUGAAAACUUUUUGCUUUUUGGGGUGAACUAAACAAGGCCUUAGUUUCAUUCUUAGUGUGUUUAUUUUUCAAAGUUUGCUACUGUAAUAAUAAGCCCUGCAUGAAGAUGAACUAAAUAAAUAUUAUUAUAUAUCUUGUCUCUCUAUAGUCACCCUUUUGUGUCCACCAUGUUGUGAAUGAUGGAUAACAGGAAACUAGUGUGGGGGAGACACCCGAUGAUCAAAACGAACAAAUUCUUGUGAAAAGUUAACAAAAUUGGAGAAGACAUGACACAAAGACCAUGCUUGAUGAAACUGACCCCGAAGGGCAACUAGCCAGCGGCGGACGCCCCUAUCAUUCUUGGGUGCCUGGCCAGGGGAGAAGCCCCCUGGUCUCUGCUUCGAACAAAGGUCAGGUAUGAUUUCUCUAAGUUAUAAAUUGUUAUUAUUGCUACUGUUUCAAUUCAGAAUAAAAUAUCUUUAGUUAAAUCACCCUAUGCAUGAAUAAUUAUAAGAUGUUUUAUUCAUGACCACAAGAUAGACUUACACCAUGAUAAUUCCUAGAAAAUCCUGUUGCUAUUAGGAACUUUAAUAGGGACCCCAUAUUACUUAAGUUGUUGUGGAAAGAGAGAUAGUAUGAAUAUGAGAACUUGAUUUGUGAUGCCUAGCCAUUUGGAGAAUUUUACUUUUCAAAAAUCUUAAAUUGAUUAGCUAUACUUCUCCUCUAUAGCAAGAAUUAAUGUCGUACUAGAGCCAUGCAUGAUAGAUAUAAACUAGCUCAUAGGCUACUUGCUUUGUAUUGACUUUUGUCAAACCUUAUUGACCAAUGUCAAGAGGAUUAUCAUGCUCUUAAGAUCAAGAUCACAUACACCCACAUAUAUCUGCCAUUCCUACACUGGGAAUGUGCACAAACAUGCCUUUCCAUCCAUUAAAAAUGUUUUACUCCUACACUAGGAGGAAACACAAGAAGAGUCUUAGUAGGAAUAAUUGCUCUAAGUUCUUUAAAAAGUAUUUCUCAAUAUUUUAUGGUUACAGAAGGAGGUAUGUGGCUAUGCAAAAUAAAAGUAUUGAAAAAAGAGAGAAAGAUAAAAAGGAUAGGUGUCCUAGAAAGAAAGAAGAAUAAAAGAUAGCCCAUACCAUCGUGUACAAAGACCAUUAGUGCUUUACAGAAAGAAAGACAUUUUUGAAAAGAGCAAUGUAGAAUUAGGAUUAGCCACUAUAUAUUCCACACACAUGCACUUCUUGAUCUAAGAGUAUGCUAUUCCCCUCUAUGGAUCUGAGUUUUGACUUAGCAAGAUAUGUAAGGUAAUUAUGCUAUUUCCUUGAAUUACCUUUAACUCCAUAUAAGCCUAUAUAGAGUAGGAUAUAUAUGAUACAUGCUUUGGAGAGUUCCACAAAUACCACCUAUAAUGAGUGAUUCGAGUGUGCUACAUGAUGGAGAAUGGUAAGCUAAGUUUUUCUUUGCAAAAUAUUAUAAAACUCCAAGUGACAGAGCUAAAGGAAAAGAGAACUCUAUUUUGUACUGUUCCAUCCUCAACCUCCCAAAGUUUUAGGGUAGACACUUUGAAUCCCGCAGUACAUGCAUGACUUGGAAUAAAUCUUGUAAUCUCUUGGUUUGAGGUUAUGAUUAAAAUAAUGUAUCCAUCCUUUUUCCUCGAGGAUGAGUAAAAGAUAAGUGUGGGGGUGUUUCUCGGUAGAUAACUCCAAAUUGUAACCGUGAACUUAACAUGAAAAAUGACCUAUUUGCAAGCACUCAGUAGAAAUAGGGUUAUCACUAACAGAAUUCCAUGAGUUUUUGUGAUUGUCUAUUUCUAUAGGGGGGUACCAGAAUAAUAAAAGAAGGUCCACAUGUCAAGUUUACAUAGAGAGAAGACCGUAAUGUCAACUCAAGAAGACUCUAGAAGACUCCAGGAGCCACCACCUGAAAGGUGGGACCACCUACCAUAGGGCAGGGUCGGGCGCCCCACCCUGUCAGGGGUGGUCGCCCGAGGCUCUCCACCAAUUAGAGCAAACCUCACGGAUCCUGCCUCCACCGGCUUUUAGGAGUAAUCUUAAGCGCAUGUUUAAGUCCGUUUGAUUCAAGGGCUGUGGUGAUUCCUAGGGGACUGUUAAUAAAGACCCUACCCCCCCUUGAGAUGUAUUUCUAAAAUCCUAAUUCAUAUUUUCCACAGAGAGUAAGAUAGAGAGGGGUCCCUCGAAUGGAUCUAUCUCUUUAGGGUGAUAGCAACAAGAGAGAUUGAGAGAGUAUAGGGUGAGGAUAGGAGUUGAAGAAGCCCGGCCUGUUGGUGCCUUCUUCUUCGUAUCUUCGAAGUGAAGUCCCCUAACCCGAGGCUUGGUUCUAGAGUUGUUCGGCAAUUCAACUUCUGAUACUAGUAAGUUAUUGUUCUUAUUGUUCUUUGGUUUACGAGUUUACUUUAUUCUCUUCGCGUAGGGAAUAGAGUAAUUAUUCUUAGUCUAAGCAUGGUGCUUGGGCUAGGAAUACUCGUAGAUACUCCAUGCUUGGUUACACCUUUUAGAACGAUAUCUACACACUUACCAUUGGUUAGAAGAAGACUGAAGAAAGGGUUCUCUCUAUAUUGCUUAUAUCUCACUAUCUUGUCUUGCAACCCAUGGGUACUAGGUAGGAUAAAAGGUUAGUCUUUUCCACAUUUUCUCCUAGUGGUAAAAAAAUAAAUACGAUACUCUAGACUUAUCUCCCAGCUAAAGUGCUCACCGAUAUUUGUGCGCUUGCGGAUUAUUUCUCUUUGAUUCUUUCAUGUGCGUAACUAAUAUGGACAUCACCUCAACAUACUCCGCCUCGACCCGUCCCAGCACCAACAUGUGUACAGAACAACUGGGGAUCCUCUUGUGCACCAUAAUGGAGUUGGAGACGACUUUGCCGACCUCCGAGGACUCAAGCUUCUCAUGAGUACUUGGGCCUUGAGCACUCAGCCCAAGAUGAUACACACUCAACAUGUUCAGGCAGUAGUUGGCAGAGGAGCAGCGGGGGCAGUUCCCAAACUUCUACACCACCACUGAUCCUAAUCCUAACUUCGACUUCGAUGGCUACGACCCUACACGGGAGUGCUUCAACAUUCAAGACGGAGCCGUUGCCACCGACGAUGACACCACUGAUGGCAAUGACGUCGCUAGUGCUCCAGUGGCAGGAGGCGAACUCGAGACUCCAGAAUAGGGAGGGCAAGUAGGCCAUGUCGACCCACGUCUCGCCCAAGGCGAUCAGGCCAUGCAACUCAUGCAACUUUGAGAGGUGAGGGCCAAGCUUGAUAAGGAACGGGAAAGGCUGGGCCAGCUUAUGCAAGCUAUUGAGCAAGAUCACGUGCCCCCAUGCGGUGGUGGAGCUCGAGGCAGGGCUCGAAACAUUUUUCUACAAAUUGUUGAAGAUAGAGAACCAGAGCGCCUCAUCAACCAUUUCCCUUGAGCUGGCCAAAACAUCGUCGCCGCAACAAUGCUCCUCCGCAACAUGCCCGAGCCUUCGAAUACCCAAGGAUGCCACAUAUGGGAGGAGCUGCAAGGCUUGCUCCAAGUUGUGGCUACACAACAGGAUGAAAGCUUAGCCUCGAUACAUCAAGGAGCAGCCUUAGAAUGGCAUGUCCAGCUAGCUCAUCAUGAAAGGGAAGCUUCCAUCCACUAUGAAGCGCCUCCUCGCGGCAAGAAAGCCGCCCCAGCUCGAGAGCACGUCAUUGAUAACCGCGACCCACAUGAUGCAUGCCAUGACAUCAACAAACACCGACGGUGUAAGUGCAUGGAGGCCAAGGAGUGAGGCUAUAGCACACACCAUGGUAGGCGUUACGACAGUGACGAGGACCGGAGGGCUCCCGAGCCACCAAGGCCUGGAGUCUUCAGCAAAGCGAUCCACAGCACGCCUCUACUCAAUCCUUUUCGUCCUCCCAUGAGUAUCUCCAAGUACAAUGGUGAAACCAAGCCCGAGCUCUGGCUAGCCAACUUUCGGCUCGCAUGCUAGUUGGAUGGAGCUCAAGGAGAUGACUGCGCCAUCAUUUCACAACUACCUCUAUUCCUCUCCAACACUGCUCGUAGGUGGCUCGAGGAGCUUCCCCCCAAUUAGAUCUACAACUGGGCCAACCUAGCCCACAUUUUCAAGGGGAACUUCAAGGGAACCUAUGUCCAUCUAGGCAACUCAUGGGACCUCAUCAAGUGCAAGCAAAGGUCUGAGGAAUCCCUCCGCGACUACGCUCGACGCUUCUCCAAGCAACGUACCGAGCUCCGGCACAUCCUUGACCACUACAUCAUCCUAGAAUUUGUAUCAGGCACCACCUGUAAGGACUUGGUGUGGGAGUUAUGGCGUAACCGCCCAAAAACAUUCGAUGAGUUAAUGGACAUGAUGGCCAACUACGAGGUAGGAGAAGAGGCAGUUGGAGCAUUCUUCAGUGAUGGAAAGGACAAGGGGAAAGCAUAAGCGGAUGAUGUCGAGAGCUAGAGCAAAUGUCUCAGGAAGUACAACAAGAAGAAGAAAAAGGUGUGGCAAGGCAAGUGUGAAGCCAUGGACGAUGACUUUGUCACCACAGUUGAAUGCAAGAAGCCUCGAGGACCCCCUAAGGGGGCCAUCUUCGACAAGAUACUAAAAGAGCCUUGCCCUUACCACAAGGGAGGAGCCAACCACAAGCUCGAGGAUUGCCGCAUGUUGAAGAAGUACUUUGAUAUCUUGGGCAUCAAGAAGGACGACUAGAGGAAAGACAAAGGCCACAACAAAGGCAACAGCGAAGAUGACGACAAGUUCCCCGAGGUGCAUGACUGCUACAUGAUCUAUGGCGGCCCCUCCAGAUAGGUCAUAACUCAACAACACAAGAGGGAGUGUUAAAAGGUCUUUGUUGUUCGGAUGGUGGUACCUCAGUACCUCAACUGGCCUGACACCCCAUCACAUUUGACCAUGAUGACCACCUUGAUCCUGUCCUUAGCCCUAGAGUCUACCUGCUCAUUGUUGACCCUAUCAUCGUCAACGCUCACCUCUCGAAGGUACUAAUGGAUGGCGGUAACAGCCUCAACAUUAUCUACCUCGAGACUCUCGACCUUUUAGGGAUCGAGAGAUCGCAACUCAAGCCAAGCACAGGGGCUUCCACGGGGUGGUACCGAGCAAGAAGGCCCUCCCAGUAGGUCAGAUCGACCUCUCGGUCUGUUUCGGCACCACUUCCAAUUUCAGGAAGGAUAUCCUGAAUUUCAAGGUGGUCAGCUUCUGUGGCACUUACCAUGCCAUCAUUCGGCGCCCGGGGUAAGCUGAGUUCAUGACGGUCCCCAACUACACCUACCUCAAGCUCAAGAUGGCAGGACCAAAGGGGAUCAUCACCAUCAGCUCCUCCUAUGAGCAUGCAUACGAAUGCGACGUUGAGUGCAUCAAACAUGGAGAAGUAGUCGAGAGUUUAACACACCUAGCCUUGAUGCUUGAGGCUCUCACCACCGAGGCUCUAGAGCCCAAGCGACACGCAUGGAAUUUUGAGCCAACGGAAGACACAUAGAAGACUGCCCUCGACCCCAACAACUCCGACGACAAGGUGAUAAUGAUUAGCGCCACCCUCGAUGCCAAAUAGGAAGUUGUGCUCGUUGACUUUCUCCGUGCGAAUGUCGACACGUUUGUGUGGAGUCCAUUAGAUAUGCCUCACAUGGCAAGGGAUGUCGCUGGGCAUGCCUUAUAGAUCCAGGCUGGGUCUAAGCCGGUGAAACAAUGUGUGCGCCGCUUUGACAAGGAGAAGCAUAGGAUCAUCGAUGAGGUAGUUCACAAGCUUUUCGUGGUCGGAUUCAUCAAGGAGGUUCAUCAUCCCGAUUGGUUAGCUAAUCCUAUACUAGUCAAGAAAAAGAAUGGAAAAAUGUAGAUGUGUGUUGAUUACACUAGUUUGAAUAAAGCAUGUCCUAAAGUUCCAUUUCCUUUAUCACAAUUAAUCAAAUUGUUGAUUCUACUGUGGGGUAUCAAACGCUUUGCUUUCUUGAUGCUUAUUCCGAUUAUCACCACAUAAAAAUGAUGGGGUUUGACCAGCUUGUGUCCUCUUUCAUUACCCCUUUUGGCAUGUACUGCUAUGUCACCAUGCCCUUCAGCCUUUGAACAUCAGGGUGACAUAUCAGUGAUGCAUGCUCCACAUUUUUGGUAGAAACAUAGGGUCAACGGUUGAGGCAUACAUCAACAAUAUUGUAGUAAAGACAAAAAAUAUAGGGAACGUCAUUGAAGCCCUCAAGAUCGCAUUUGGUUGCCUUCGAGCUAAUAACAUCAUGCUUAACCCUAAGAAAUGUGUCUUUGGCAUGCCUCGAGGCAUGCUCUUAGGAUACAUCAUCUCCUAGCGCAGUAUCGAGGCCAACCCCGAGAAAGUCUCGGCCAUUACAAAAAUAGGGCCGAUUUGAGACGUCAAGGGCGUACAGAAAGUCACGAGCUGCCUAGCAGCUCUCAGCUGCUUCAUCUCAUGGUUGGGGAACAAAGCUUUGCCACUAUACCAUCUCCUCAAGAAGAUCGAGUGCUUCGCAUGGACUUCCAACACUGAAGAAGCCCUUAACAGGCUCAAAGGUAUGCUGACCUCCCCUCUGGUUCUUGUACCGCCUCAACCUACAAAACCUCUUCUCCUCUACAUUGUGGUGGCCACUCAGGUGGUCAGCGCGGCUAUAGUGGUCGAGAGACAAGAAGAGGGGCACACACCACCAGUGCAACGACCAGUCUACUUUGUCAGUGAGGUACAUUCAGAGACCAAGAUAUGCUAUCCGCAGAUACAAAAGCUCAUCUACACGAUCAUUGUUGAUAUUUGGUAACGCAAUCAGAAAAUGAUCCGCAAGCGCACGGAUAUCGGUGAGCAUUUCACCCGGGAGGUUAUCCAGAGUUAUCGUAUUUAUAUUUUUACCACUGGGAGAAAGGGUGCAUCUGACUAACCAAAUCUAUUGCUACUAUCCCUCUCGGCUACAAAGAAUAUUUCUCGAUGUGAGUGAUGUAUAGAGAAGAUUGCAACCGUAGUCUCGUUCUAACCUUGGUAAGGAUGAUCUAGUGUUCUAUUGGGGAAGCUUACGGAAUCUAGACACCACAAAGGAUGUUUGACCCGCACCUAUAAACCUACCCGUCCUGCUAACAAGAUAUGUGAUGCAAAGGUAACUCAGAAAUGACACGUUCCUCGCUACUACCACGGUCCAGCUAGUCAGGGGAUAUCUAUGAGUACCCUAGCCUAAACACCACGUUUACGCUAGCAAUGAUUACUCUAAUACUCAACCGGAAGAGAUUAAAGUAAACUCAUAAACCAAAGAACAAUAAAACAAGAACAUACUAGAAUUAGAAGUCGAAUUACUGAAGAAUCCUAGGAGCAAGCCUCGGGUUAGAAGACUUGAUCCUGCAGGUACAACCUCGGAGUAGACACCGACAGGCCGGGCUUCCUCCGAUCUACACCUCCACUCUAUCUCUCUCAAUCUAGUAGAAACUAGAAGAUCUAAUUCUACUCACAUUGGAUGCUAAGCCUAAAAGAAAUUUUAUUAGAGGAUAGGUAUUCCUUCGAGGGCUCCUCUCAACUCUAUGAUGAACUUGUCUCCUCCAGGGGCCAGGGGGUCUGGUUUUAUAGUCCCCUCAAAUGAAUGUGAGCCAUUGGAUCAAACCGACAUUGAUUGGACGGUUAUCCUUGAUCCUUUAGGUCGGUGGAGAUUAGUCCCGAAAGAGAGUCCUGAUCCAACUCUGUGGGCGGGCGCCCAGGUCAACUGGGCGGGCGCCCAGUGCCUGGCCCCGUUCGGCCUCUGCUUCCUUCCCGUGGCUUCUAUAGUCUUCUAGAUGUAAGAUAAUUGCGCAACACGUUGAUAUCUCUAUGUAAUCCUGACGUGUGGGCCUUUCUUCCGUAUUUCCUGAUAACUCCCUGCAGAAAUAGACAAACACCAAAACUCGUGGAAUUCUGUCAGAUAAAAACCUAAGUCUGGGUGUUGGUUGCAUUUGGAUCCUUUUCUUUAUUUAUUUGAUGAUUAUAUUUGGUACUUAAGGACUGUCAACAACUCCCCCAAGCUUACCUCUUGCUCGUCCCUGAGCAAGGAUGAACUCAAGAGUUUCAGCAGUGGUUUCAUGCCUUAAAAGUAAGAUCUCAUCUCUGAGUUAGGGUAAACUGUUAAGACUUAAAACUUACUCAUUUUACCUAUCACCAUGGGGCUUGUAACCGUCACCUGUGUCUUGAGCAGUUAAAAGAUAGAACGGUCAAGUCAAGCGCCAUGUCUCUUAUUCUUGAUCAGCUAUAGCUCUGGAGUUUUUUUGCAGAUUUUCAAAUAAAACUCAGAGAUUCUUUGUAUGACUCUCUCAAAUCUCUCUUUUGUGGUAUUUCUAGAUCCUUUCCAAGGCAGUAAUGGUAUAUGCCUUCUCUCAAAGUAUGUGGUAUUUUUGGUAUGAGGCAUAGUGACAUUGCCUUCUCUCGCACCCUACUCUAAUAAGGUUUUAAUAUCUGGAGCUCAUAGGUGGGAGACAGCUAAUACAUACUUACAAGACAUUUAUUGCAUAGUCAAACCAUAGAUCUAGAGAAACAAGUCAAUAAGUCAAAUCAAGAUGUGCAUUUGUGGCGAGUGAAUGGUGUAUGGUGAUGAUGGUGAUAACAAUGGUGAAAGUCUAAUUCUACUUUUGCUCUUUUGAGGGGAUACAUACCUUCCUUGCUCUUUUGAAACUUUUUGAGGAGAAUGAGGUGCUCUAUAUUUUCUUUUUCUUUCCUCUCAGUUGGGUAUCUUGUACCCCUAAUUGUACUAUCGGACACUUGUCCAUUUUUACCUGUCAUCUCACUUUUUCUUUUCUUUUGAAGUUCCGGGCACUUGCCCCUUUUUAUUUCCUCGUAUUCUUUCUCUUUUUUUAGAGCACUCAUCUCCUGAAAUAAUAUAGCAACUAGUAGUAACCAAGAUAACUCGAGCAUUUAUUUUACAGGGAAAAACAGAAAUAGGAGAAUGUUUUUGGCUAUUCUGUGUGGAUUAGGAGUAGAAUACUUUUGGGUGGCUCUGGAGAUGGAAAUAAGUGGAUAUAUGUGGAUGCAUACUUCCGGAGUAGAAGCAGCAUGUGUGAGUGAACGUGCAAGUGAAUCUUGAUUUAACCACAUGACAAGCUCCUAAGGGUCUACACAGCUUGACCACACUCAAUGCUCAUAAGCAGUAAAAAGUAAAUGUGUGGCUCAAAGUCUAGCAAGCAUGUAUAUAUGGCUAUGGUAGGAAUUUAAACUCUCAUCAUACAUGAACUCAUCAUGUGUUAUUUUAAAUAUUUUCAAAAAUAAAAUUCUCCAGAUUUCUAGCAUCUCUAGGAACAGAUAAACAACAGCUCAACCUUCCCAUAUCAUAUCCGUUAACGACUUAGACUUUAGAUCAAGUACUCUUCCCACAAGUUCAGGUUUAGAGCAGGUUUAAAUUAUAACAGUUAUGCCUAAACUUGAGAGAGAUUUCAAUUUUGAGAACUAAUCAUGGCGGAGCAACUGUUCAUUAUUUCCAUGUGAGAGCUUAUCAUAAGGGUUCAUAGCAAACUUUAUUUAUUUAUUUAUUUGGCAAACUAAGCAAAGAUUUAAGCAGAAAAAUUUUAUUUGUGUUUUUUAUGAUUAUGCAUCUUUUUAUUAUUUGAGUAAAGUAUAAACGCGAGUAGAAACACUUAGCUGGAUAAAUGGGGGUGCUCUCCCCCAAGCUGGAUUUUUACGUAAUUUAUUCUAAUGUAGCUAGCAGGUGGUGGAGGUGUUUUUGGAAAGUUGGCAGCACCCUGUCAGCGAUUAGGAUGUCCUCCGUCUCCUAGUCUUCUUUGAUCCUUGAAUUCUGUGGAGCUCAAAUAGACAACAAAGCUUUGUGGAACUGGUUAAGUGUAAGCAUAAAAUCUCUUUGCCUUUAUCAUAUUGAGCUUCCUCCUAAUAAAUAUUACUCUUUUUAGUAGGAUCAUAAAUUUAUUUUUAUAUUUUUAUUUUUAUAGGAUAGGAAUAUUUUUAUUUUUAUUUUUAUGCCACCACAGUGAAUGUACCUAUGGGUUUUAUGCCAUGAGCAUACUCACAUGGGGCUUACUAUUUUUAACAUUGUUAUUUUCUUUUCGAGAUGAUAUGAACCUGAUUAACUAAGCAAACUAGAAUUGAAAGAAAAAGGAUAACUACCAAGUUUACCUCUUGGCAAGGCGUUCGAUGUUUUUAAGUCCUCCGAACGGGACUCUCCAUUUUCUCAGUCGUCCUGGGAUUCGCUGGAUGGCGUAGUCGGUGGUUCCGGCGGCACCUCCUCUUCAUGUAUAACUAUCUUCUUUUCCUGACUCGGUGCUAUGGUCUCCUCAGGACAGUUCUGUUCAAGUUGUAUGUCUUCAGACCUUAUCACUUCUCCUUCGUAGUCUACCCAUCCGUCCUUGAUGAUUUGCCUCCUCUGGUUUCAGUUGCGUCGUCUUCUUCAGAGGAAAGUGCAUGUGGACUUCUCCGGUUCUAAUGAUGGCUUUGAUAGUGUUGAGGAACUGUCUUCCAAGGAUGGUAGGUGGAUCAUACUCGUCUUCUCCCAUGUCAAUGCCCUGAAAAUCAUUUGGAGCUGAAUGUAUAUUGGUUGUAGGGGCAUGGUUCUAUGCAGGAGCUGAUAAGUGACUGCGGCCAUUAUGUUGACGUUAGAUCCGCUGUCGUAGAGUGUCUUCUGAAAAUAGUAUCCGUUGAUUGUGCACUUGAUGCUUGGAACACCAGGGUCGUCCUUCUUGAUCAGGAAGAGCGACUUGAGUCGACGAUCUUGACAUCCUUGAGCUGCAGUGACCAUCUUAGCUGACUCGGUCAACAUUUGCUUGUUCCUGUUCCUCCUGUUGAUCCUCUUUCUUGGUUCAUGUCGAGAUUGUUGUGAAAUUUAUGUAGUUUUGUUCUUGAAGGAAAACGUCUCCUUCUUCCCCUUGAUGUAGAAACUGAUCUUGGCAGUACUAAUGUAGAUGACAACUCCCGAGGUGUUCAGGAAUGGCCUCCCUAGGAUGAUCGGUGCCCUCUCAUUAGUACCAGUCUCUAUCACCAUGAAGUCUCUAUUUUGUUGAGGACGGUUGUAGUAGUAGUUGUUGUUGUUGAUGUAGUAUACGUCCUCAAGCAUCUCAGGACAGUGAUUGCCUGAGUGUCCAGUAUCUCCAGUGUGUUUGUGCUCGUAGAUUGUGGCAGAACCACCCUAAUUAUAUGGCCCACAUGCACCUGUCAUUGUCCUUAAGACCUCUAACUACUGCACAUGAGAGUCAUAUAACUUGGAUAGUCUGUCGGGUGCCCUCGGAGGACCCCGAAUCAUCCACAUUUUAACUCAUACAGGAUCAACAUGGAGUUACCACAACAUUACAACAUUUGUUACAAAAAUAACUUACAUCGGAGUGUGGAAGAUUUAUAACUCAACUUACAACAUAUGAUGGAAUAUAAACAACUAAAUUUUCAAAAGGUGUGU